CAAGGUGAAAGUCUCCCCUACCGGAAAGAAUGAGACUCUUCGUGAAUAUAUUGAAAGGUUCACUAAAGAGGAAGUAGAAGUCUGGGGAGUAAAUGACAAAGUUAAAUGCUUCGGCUUUAAAAAUGGCCUAAGGCCCAAUUGCAUGCAUGUAUAGGGGGGAGUUAGGUCUUGAAGUGCUCAAAAAUAUGAGUGAGUUGCUAGUAGAAGCUAAACCCUUCAUUAACUACAAAGAAAAGCUGCUUGUAAAUGAGAUAGUGAAAAAUUAAGAUAACCUAGAAUAUUUGAUAUGUCAUGGACACAUCAAAAUUAAGUUAUAAUUUAGGCAAAAUGCAACAUUGAGUUUUUAAGUUUAAUGUUUGUAACAAUAUAAUUUUUGAGUUUCUCCAAAUAAAAAUGAUUUUAUACUAUGAAGAAAUAUUAAUCCCUCAAAGUCUUUCCUUCUUAAUGCCAUCUAUUUCUUCCAUUUACUUCUUUCUUUUUUCCAAAUCUCUCCAUCUUUUUCUCUCCAAACUUGCAAACAAAGUUGGACCACGAAGAUCCAAAAUUUAAUCUUAAAAUAACUCAUAGCAUACUUUUCGCAUAGAAUUACUUGAGAGGAAAAGUUUACUCAGUUUAUAAAUGGCUUUACCUAAUAUUUUAAGGCGGGAAUAAUCAUUGUACCCUAACAUAAAGCAAAAACGUACUAGUUGAACUAGUAAUAAUGGCAUCGAUCAGUCCUCAUAGAAAAAUCAAAGGUGUCAAAAUUGAAAAAGAAAGCUCUACACAACUUGCCAUCGGAGCUGGGAAAGCACUCUUUGCUUUAAUGCAACAAUUCCAACCUAACUUUAACAGGUUAUAAUUCUCUAAAUUCCUCUAACUUUAACAAAAGUUAAUAUCCUUGUGAUUUUCAAGAGAAAUUCUUAACUUUUUUAUAGUAAAAAGUACAGAGCUCUAAUAUUUAUGAGACUUGUGUUUAUAAUUGAUUUUAAGAUUAGAUUCAACGAAUAUCCUAUUGUGUUUAUGUGGCUGCCUGGCUUUGGUGAGCCUGCUUUAUUCUCUCUUUACUCAGCUUUUGGUGCUAUGUGGGUUUUGGGUGGUUUUUUUGUGUUCUCUUUAUGCCUUUAUAUUGCCUUUUAUUUUAUUGUUUUUAGUUCUACUGUAGUGCAAUUGUUUAUUCAUCUCAUUUUUUAAUCAAAAAAUUAAAUAAUAUUAUGUAAAAGAUUUGUUUUUUUAAAGGAAAAAUAGAGUUGUUGUUAGAAUUAUAAUUUAAAUGAGGGUCUUGCUAACUGUGUCUUGUUAAGGAUUCAAAAAUAAAAACAAUAUCUUUUAUGCCGAUAAAAGCAUUUAUUAGGAUUUUUUUUUGUCAAGUAGCCUAGUGGCUAGAGCUAACACAAUUUAUUGUGGAGAAGUGGGGUAUCCGAGGUUCGAACCACAAUCCCUACACAUAAUAUGCAAUAUUUCUACCAACUGAGCUAAACUCACGGGGAUAUAAAUUGAAGGAUAAAUAAUGAUAUAAAUCGAAGAUAAAUAAGAAUCAUGUAUGCCCUUUGCAAGCACUAAGAUAAUAAAAGUAAUUUUUUAUUAACAAAAGUAUUUUUACGAAUAGCUAAAACAAACUCACCCAAAAUCUUUCCUACGAGUCAUCAUUAUGUUGUCCAAAAUGUUCAUUACAGACUAAAAAUGGCAUGAAUAUAAAGAUAUUUUUGAACAAAUUCGUGCCGCCCACGUGCCUUCUUCAGCAGAACCAUGUCUUGGACAAGAUACAAUGGAUUUCAUGAGUGACAUUGAGCAACAUUAUUUCCCUAAAAAAAAAAAAUUGAGCAACAUUGUUCGUGGCUGGCUUUUAUGGGGUGGACAACUAAGAGUAUUUCUUUGUCUAUAACUUUAAAAUAUAAUAUUUUUUAAAUAAAAUUAUAUUUAUUAUUUGUUUCUAUUUUUGAAUGCUUAACAAAUAUCUUUAAGGGCAUUUUGUUGGUAUGGUACGUAAUUUAUUUGGUCAAUAUUGGUGUGACCAUUUACUACAACCACAAGCUAGCCUUUACUAGGAGUCAUGAGUGGCACAUGCCCAUUUAAUUUGGCUAUCUAUAAAUGUAAGAGCCAUUUAUGAAGAAUCUCAAACUCAAUCUCACAACAAAAAUGAACUCUCUUCGUGCUGUAGCAAUAGCUUUGUGUUUUAUUGUGGCUUUGUUUGGAGUGUUACCUUUCCCUUCCAAUGCACAACUUAAUCCAUCCUUUUAUAGCAAAACUUGUCCAAAUGUUAGUUCCAUUGUCCGGGAAGUCAUAAGAAACGUUUCUAAGACAGAUACUCGUAUGCUUGCAAGUCUUGUUAGGCUUCACUUCCAUGACUGUUUUGUUCAAGUAUGUAUACUUUACCUUCUACUUGUAAAUGAUUUGUAUUAUGCUAAUGUUAUAAUCAUAAUGUAAAUAAUGUAAUCUAUGACUUGAACAGGGUUGUGAUGCAUCAGUUUUGUUGAAUAACACUGCUACUAUUGUCAGUGAACAAGAUGCUUUUCCAAACAGAAACUCAUUGAGAGGUUUGGAUGUUGUGAAUCAAAUCAAAACAGCAGUAGAAAAGGCUUGCCCUAACACAGUUUCUUGUGCUGAUAUUCUUGCUCUUGCUGCUGAAUUAUCAUCUACACUGGUAUAUAUAUGCCUCAUCCUUUAUUAUAUAGUAUUUUUAUCCACCAUUGAAUUUCAAAUGGAAAUUCUUAUUGACUCUUUUUGUUUUGUGAUGUAAUAAAAUAGUCUCAAGGUCCUGAUUGGAAAGUUCCUUUAGGAAGAAGAGAUGGUUUAACAGCAAACCAAUCACUUGCUAAUCAAAAUCUUCCAGCUCCUUUUAACUCAUUAGAUCAACUCAAAGCUGCAUUUGCUUCUCAAGGCCUCAGUACUACUGAUCUAGUUGCACUCUCGGGUAUGUAACAUUUUUAAAGUUUUUGUUUAAAAAUUUCUAAUUAGUAGUAUGUAUGAUUAUUGAUCUAUAUCUGUUUCAAUUGCAGGUGCUCAUACAUUUGGAAGAGCUCAUUGCUCUUUAUUUGUUAGUCGAUUGUACAACUUCAGCAAUACGGGAAGUCCCGAUCCAACUCUUAACGCAACUUACUUACAACAAUUGCGCAAUAUAUGUCCCAAUGGUGGACCUGGAACUCCCCUUGCAAGUUUUGAUCCAACUACUCCUGAUAAAUUUGACAAGAACUAUUACUCUAAUCUUCAAGUGAAAAAAGGUUUGCUUCAAAGUGAUCAAGAGUUGUUCUCAACAUCUGGUGCUGAUACCAUUAGCAUUGUCAACAACUUUGCCACUGAUCAAAAAGCUUUUUUUGAGAGCUUUAAGGCUGCUAUGAUUAAAAUGGGAAAUAUUGGUGUGUUAACCGGGAACCAAGGAGAGAUUAGAAAACAAUGCAACUUUGUUAAUUCAAAAUCAGUAGAACUAGGUCUUGUCAAUGUUGCCUCAACAGAGGAGGGUAUGGUUAGCUCAAUGUAAAUGUAGUGACUGGAGCCAAAUAAUAAAUAAGCUAUAACUAGGCACAUUCAUGGUAUGUGUUACAUAUCCUUAAAAAAAAAAAAAAAAUGGUAUGUGUUACAUAGUUAUUAGGCGUUUGGUGAACAAUUUGUUUUUAUUUGGUACAAGUUUCUUUUUUUAUGUGAAGUACUCCCUCUAUUCCUUUUUAUGGGAUCUUGUAACGAAAAUCACGAGUAUUAACAAAACUUGUUGGAAUAAUAAAUUUGUCACAAAUAUGUAUGACUAUUACUAAAUUACUCUUUGUUAUAAAUAAGCAACAUGCUAUAUUAGUCUAUUAAUUCACUUAUCUAUCUUAACAUAUAUCAUAUUAUUUGUUUAAAUAUAUUCAGAAGAAAUAGUCUUUUAAACAAGAUACAAGUUAUAUCACCCUUUAGAAACCAAGAAACAUACCUAAAAAAUAUACCUACGAUAGGCUACAAAUCAAACUUAAACCUUAAAUGUUUUGACAAAUUAUAUCGGAUCUUGCAAAGCCUAACUCGACUUAACAUAUAUUUACCCCUUAUCACUAUGGAAGAUUUCAUGUGCCUGAGGUCUUCAGGUUUGAUAACAAUGUGGUUGGCUACAUGCGUGUAUAUAUGGAAAUGUUAACUUGUGUCCUUAGAUCACAUUUUUUGGAACUUAAUUAGAGUGGAAAUUUUGUCUAGGAAAUCAUGUCAAUUUAUUCUUCUAGAGAUUGAAAGUUAAUGUUUUGUAAUAAAUAUUUAUCAUUUAUGGAAUCUUUAGCUAAUAUAUAAAUGACUUUAUCGUUAAUAUAAGCGGAUGUCCAUAUAACAAUUGGGUUAAUGAGUCAUAAUAUUAGACCAUGCAUAUUAUAUUGUUUGUUCUCCAAGUUAUCUCUGUAAAUAAAACUCAAAUGUAACCUAAUUAUACACCACAAAAUAAUAAUAAUAAUAGUAACAAUAAAAUAUUUUUUCUCGGAUUAAUCGAUUUUUUGAUCGGAUACCGAGUUUUCAAAAAAGAAGAAAAAAUAAUAAUAAUAAUAAUAAUAAAAUAUUUAUCUCUCUUCUAUCCCUUCCUCCCCUUUCUUUAUUCUUGUUCUUAUUUCCUUAGUUUCAUAACAAUUAAUUUAUUGAUUUAGAAAACAAUUAUACAGAAACACUUUAAUUUAUGAGUGUGCCACAGACGCUUUCAACAUACAUGUUUGUAUAUCGGUUUUGAUGGGCUGUGUCUGACAUAAAAUUGGCGAGCUUUGUAUUUGCAUAUAAAGUGUGCCUCAUUCUUUGGGUUUUAUUUGAGUUUUUAUAUUAAUUUUUUUACCAUUCAAAUAAAAGAAGACCAAAACAACUUGGGUCAUAGUUUUAGUGCAACUUGGUGGCAUAGGAGAUACCAAUUUGCACGGAAAAGUGAUAAGUUCUGUCAAAAAAUAAUUAUUAUUUAAGUCUGGCAGGACCAGGGAGGGAUGAGAAUGAGGGAGAAAUGCUUAUUAUAGAUUAAUGAUCAAAUCAACAACGAAGAAAAGAAAAUGCUUAACAAGAUUAAUUAUUUUCUUUUUACAAACGUUCGAUUAAAUUAUUAAAAAUGUAUACGUUUGGAUCAAAAUUUUAAAAUAAUUUUUGACUGUGCAUUUUGUUAAUCAAAUUAAAUGUUUCAUUAACAUUAUCAUAUUUGUCUUUUUAUAAGAUACAAUGGAUUUCAUUGAGUGACAAUGAGCAACAUCGAUUCGUGUGGUUGGCUUUUAUGGGGUCCACUUAUACGAGUAGCACGAUAUGUAUAGUAGUACUAUUUGGACCUUGUUUUAUUCGGUCAAUUUUCACACCUCAAUGGUAAUAAUGUUCUCACACAUCAACCACAAGCCUUUUCUAGGAGCCAUUCACGACUCAUUGUCCCUUCUUUUUCUAUAAAUAAGUGCUUAUUUUAUACACAUUCUCAGUAUCACUUUCACUUUCACUUUCACAACAAACAAUGAACUCCCUUCGUGCUGUAGCAAUAGCUUUGUGCUGUAUUGUGGUUGUGCUUGGAGGGUUACCCUUCUCUUCAAAUGCACAACUUGAUCCAUCCUUUUACAGGAACACUUGUCCAAAUGUUAGUUCCAUUGUUCGUGAAGUCAUAAGAAGUGUUUCUAAGAAAGAUCCUCGUAUGCUUGGUAGUCUUGUCAGGCUUCACUUUCAUGACUGUUUUGUUCAAGUAUGUAUAAUAUUCAAUCAUUCACUAACUACAUGUUCUAUUUUGCUCAUUGCGUAUGACAUGCUAUAAAUUCUUGAAAUCUUAGUAUACCUAUAAUCCUAUAGUAGUAUGAUCUUCCCAUUUAAGUAGAAUUAGUACAUAGUAAGAUAUAAUAUAAACUAGAACAAGAUCAAAUAUAGCAAAUAAAGAAUAUGUUUAGCAUGUCCUUAUGCUGCCCCUAUAUGUUAUACAAUCCAAAAAUGAAAAAAAAAAAAAAAAUCUUAAUUUUGUGUCUUAAACAUAACUUGUGUUUAAGGGCACAAAUUAACAUUCACUCUGCUCAUUAAGAAAAUAUUAAGUAAUAUAUCUAGCAAAUGAAUUGAGUUGGAAUAGUGACUUUACUUACUUACCCGGCUGAACCAAAUUCUAAAAAUUUGAGGGUUGAAAUAAAUGAAAAAUAGAAUACUAUUAGAUAUAUUUACCCUUUUGUUUUAUUAUUAAAAUAUAAUCAUUCAUUAGUAUGUCCAAUAAUUAUAGUUUAAAGUGUAUGUCUAAUAAUUAUAGUUUAAGGUUUUUUUCCUUUUUAGUGAGAGAUUUUUUUUUUUACUCAUUUAGAAGCAAUGGAGCAAGUUUUUUUUUUCAAUUAGCAAAGACAUUGUAUAAAAAACUAUGGCAUCAACCUUUUAAAUUGUACGGUUGAAGUUAAUUUUUAUUAUGCUAUUGUUAUAAUCAUAAUGUAAAUUAUGUGAUCUAUAUACUGUAACAGGGUUGUGAUGCAUCAGUUUUACUGAACAAAACUGAUACCGUUGUGAGUGAACAAGAUGCUUUUCCAAACAGAAACUCAUUAAGAGGUUUAGAUGUUGUGAAUCAAAUCAAAACAGCUGUGGAAAAGGCUUGUCCUAACACAGUUUCUUGCGCUGAUAUUCUUGCCCUUUCUGCUGAAUUAUCAUCUACACUGGUAUAUAUAUGCCUCAAACUGUACUAUAUAUUUUUCUCAUUUACCAUUGAAUUUUCAAAUCCAAUUAUUAAUUCUGCUUAUUUGUUUUGUGAUGAAAUAAAAUAGGCAGAUGGUCCUGACUGGAAAGUUCCUUUAGGAAGAAGAGAUGGUUUAACAGCAAACCAAUUACUUGCUAAUAAAAAUCUUCCAGCUCCUUUCAAUACUACUGAUCAACUUAAAGCUGCAUUUGCUGCUCAAGGUCUCGAUACUACUGAUCUGGUUGCACUCUCGGGUAUGUAACAUUUUUAAAGUUUUUGUUUAAAAAAAUCUAAUUGGUCGUUACAAUGAUGACGCCAAUGUUACAAUAAUAAUAUAUUUGAUUAUUGAUUUAUAUAUGUUUCUCGAUUUCAGGUGCUCAUACAUUUGGAAGAGCUCAUUGCUCUUUAUUUGUUAGCCGAUUGUACAACUUCAACGGUACAGGAAGUCCGGAUCCAACUCUUAACACAACUUACUUACAACAAUUGCGCACAAUAUGUCCCAAUGGUGGACCUGGCACGAACCUUACCAAUUUCGAUCCAACGACUCCUGAUAAAUUUGACAAGAACUAUUACUCUAAUCUUCAAGUGAAAAAGGGUUUGCUCCAAAGUGAUCAAGAGUUGUUCUCAACAUCUGGUUCAGAUACCAUUAGCAUUGUCAACAAAUUUGCAACCGAUCAAAAAGCUUUUUUUGAGAGCUUUAAGGCUGCUAUGAUCAAAAUGGGAAAUAUUGGUGUGUUAACUGGGAAACAAGGAGAGAUUAGAAAACAAUGCAACUUUGUUAAUUCAAAAUCAGUAGAACUAGGUUUAGUCAAUGUGGCUUCCACAGAUUCAUCAGAUGAGGGUAUGGUUAGCUCAAUGUAAUUGUAGUGAUUGGAAGCAACUAAUAAAUUAAUAAGCUAUAACUAGGCACAUUCAUGGUAUGUGUGAGAUAGUUGUUAGAUGCUUUGUGAGCUAAAAUCGUUUGUAUUUCAUUUGAAGUGUUUCUUUGAGUUGUGAGUUGAUAAUGAUCAUUUUCUGUUUCUUAUUUCGGACUUGCUUUAGCAUUAAUUUUACAAGUUUUAAGUUAAUGGAGUGCAAGACAAAGACAUCUCUUACACUAGAUUUAUCCACUUUGUAUGAUAUUUCCCAUUAAUUUACAUGCUAAUUUUGUAUAAAAAAGUAAUAAGCAAGUAUCUCCAUGGUAUAUAUUCGUAUAUUUUCUAUUACUCAACAAACUUAGUAAAAAAAAAAAAAGGGUCAUUUCAUUUAUCACCGGAUGAUAUUGAACAAUUUAUCAAUUUUACGACUUUAAAAAUCAGUGAUUUGUUCUUACUUUAGGCUCGGUCAUACAAAUACUGAUGUUAUUACCUCUUUUUUUUUUUUUUUUUUUUUUUUUUUGGAAAAAUGAUGUUAUUACCUCUUUUGAAUUAAGUUAUGGAUUCUCCAAUCCACAUAAUUUUAACACAUGACCCCAUAUAUAUGCGCGGCUAAUUUAAUCUCAUCUAAAAAGCAUGAAGAAAUAAGUUAGUAAACAUACCCUUCCAUUUACUUUGACAAAAAAACUCAAGUCUUUCUUUUCAAAUAUGGUGACAUUGGUGGUAUAUACUUAAAUCCCUUAAAAAUUUGAUUUAAGUAAUGUUUAUUUAGUAAAUAUACUUUAUUAAGCAGACUCUCUUUUCAUAAGGUUCAUAAAUUUUAAUAAUUAAAAUAUUAUUUCAUUGUUUAAAUAUGGUGAUGUAUAAUUAUUGAUUGAAAUCUAAUUUAGAAAAUUUUGUUUGAGAGAUGUUAAAUUGAAGAGACGAGUAAGACUUGAUAAGUCACAAACCCAAAUCAUUUUGAUUUGGGAACACACACAUAAGUAAGGAAGAUAAAAGAAAAUAAAUUAAAAACUCCAAAUUGGAUAUGUAUGUUUAAGUGCGUGCGCGUCCAAAUUAUUUUUGUCUAAGAUUAUGUAUUGUGCCCAAACCAAUUAAUGUUGCUCUAAAGAGAUUGAAGGUUUAUUUAUUCCUAUAAGAUUAACUUACUGUUGUGAAUUCGAACUCAAAACUCAUACCAAUACAAACUAUGAUGUGUGGAGCAAAUAAAAGUAGUAAUCAAUAUCAAAGUGAACACAAGCAACAACAAUAAUAACAACAGCUAGAUCUAAUCUAGUAAUCAAAGUGAAAAGCUCAAAACCACAAACAAAAGAUAAAGAGAGAAGAGAAACAAACACACCAAAGAUUGUUGACCCAGUUCGGUCCAACUUGACCUAAUCUGGGGGAGAGGUUGAUCUCUCCAAUCCACUAUCUAAGAGUUCUUACAAAGUGAUACAAAUGGGUUACAAGAAAUUAGCUUAAACAAGCUCACAAAGAACAAAUCUAAUUUCUACCCAUUUUCCCAAUUUCACCAAUGAACAAGAGACUCAAUGAUUUUCACUCACCCAAGGUGUUUACAAUGUUUCCCAACCCAAGAGAACUCUAAUCAAAGACCCUCAACCCUAAAGUUACCUCCUUUGAUUUCCCAAGUUUUCCUCUCUUGAAGUUCUCUCUCUUUCCUCCUUCAAAAAUGAGCUGAAACACUUAAAGAGUACACAGUGAUAGACAAAAUCGCGAUGCGCCAGUGAAAAUCGCGCCACAGUUGAAGCGUGCGACCCAAGGUACGACAACCUUAUCCACAAACCGCGUCACGCCUGCACCAAUCGCACCAUGAUUUGCCUUCAGCAGAAACCAUCCAUUCUGCCACCAAAAUCGCGCCACGCCUCCCAAAAUCACGGCACGAUUUUGGCAUUUCACAACAUCACAAUUUGAAGACAAUUUCAACACUUGUCUUUAGAGCACAAAUUAAGAAAUCAAAGAUGAAAAUAUUUUGUUGGAAAUUGUGCAUUCAAUAUUCUAGAAAUUUAAAAUCUUAUCUUCUCAAGACAUAAUUUACUACUAUAAUUUAAUUUCAUUUUUAAAUUCUUAACUUGUAUCCUAAAGGUACAAGUUAACACUACCCAAAUUAUAAAUGAAUGAUGUAGUAUUUUUGGAACCACUUAAAUGACAAGUCAACACUCCCAAAAUUACCCGAUUUUCAUUUGCUUUUUAAAAAACUGAAAUAUGAGGAAGGUCAUUGUGAGAAUGAUAUGAUUGAUAAACAAAAUCUACUUUGUUUAUAAAUGCUAUUACCUAACAUAUACAGGUGGCGAUAAUCAUUGUAGCAUAAGAUAAAGCAAAACAGGUAAACUAAUAAUGGCAAGAGUAAUGAUAUUUGAACAAAUUUUUUGGUACAGCUUUUGGGACAAUCUUGUUGUGUUCUCUUUUUAUUGGUCAAAAACAAUAUAGAGAGAAAAAGGAAGAGAAAAAAUAAGAAGAUAAUAUGAGUAUGAGAGAGAAGGUUGUACAAAAAUUAUAUAAAAAUGAUUGUACAAAUAUCAUUUCUCUAAUGACAAAGAUAGAUAAGUCCACAAAAAAAUGUCAUAAUGAAGGUGUCGAAUGUCGAAAAAGAAAACUCUAUGAAGACCCAACAAGUUGGGGCGAGCUUUAAUGCAAUACUUCCAGCUAAGGCGGAUCCAUAAAUGUGCAAGAUAGGGCUUCAAAAAAUAUAAAUAAUCGGGGCCGGCUAUAACUUGUGCAAGCAUAAAAACUACAUAUUAGUUCUAAUUUGUUGCUGUUCAACCGUCUCAAAGUAAUACUCUCGUCAUUUCAGAAUAAAUGUUGUUUAUAAAAGUUUUGUAUUAAAAUAAUCGCUGUUAUGCUUUUUCAAUGCAACUUUAAUAAAUUUAUUCUAAGUUUGCUCUCACAUUAAUCUUAUAUGCACAACUUUUAAAUCAUUAUAUUUCACUUUGACAUUAAUGAUUUAAAUGUUAUAUUACUCUUAUAUUAAUCUUAUAAGCAAAAAAUUAUGCAUUUUAGAUUCAUUCAAUUAAUGAUGUAUGUGGGCUUUAUUAUAGACCACAUACAUCAUUCAGUUUAACAUAGUCGAGUAUAAACAAAAACUUGGUUGAGUUUUCUCGAGUUUAACACGUGUUAACUCGGUCAAACUCGCCAAACAUCUCGAUUUUACCAGAAACCGAGUUUACCUCCGAGUUAACACGAUUUCAGCACCUAAAAACGUAAAUUCGUCCGAGUUUACGAGUUAACACUCAAUUUGUGGAACAUUAUCCUCAAUCCCACGUAUUACUCAACUGACUUGAGAAAAAAAAAUGCACUCUUCCCGAUUCAAUUGUCUUAGCCUUCGCUUAAAUUUUCACCAACUAGAAGGACCCUCGCCUAAUCACACAUCAGCCGAUGUCGAUUAAUAAAGUAAUUAGUUUUAGGUUAGGUUUAAACAUAGUCAUAUGCCAAUCUAGCAAGUUAAUUUUCAUAUAUCAAAAUAGUUUUUGGAAAAAUAUACAUUGUUGACAAAUUUCAUAUACACAUAAUUUUUCUUAAUUAUUGUGUAUUAGUGAAGAGAGUUUUUCAUAUAUGGAUAUAUGUGGUAGCGUGUUUGUCCGUUUCAUUAAAAAGUCACCAUUCCCUUUACUAAUUACUUUCCAUUUUAGGAGAAACACUCUUUUAUGGGUCCCACCAAAAACUCUUUUCUUCUCUAUUUAUUUGGUAACCAAACAAAGGAAAUAGUAUACUCCUCUUUUAUCUCCAACCUCUCUCUUUCGUUCUAGUUUCCUAUGGAGCUAAACAAAUAUGCUAAAGUUUGAGGGAGUAAAUGCCAGCAAAUUGAGAUGAAGAUAUUUUGAAUUCUGAACAAAUUCGUGACGACCACGUUCCCGUAUAGACAGAGCAAUUUGAUUUAGGUAAAAAUACAACAAAGGAUUUCAACAUUGAAAAUAAGAAACUUCGAUGGUGAUUUGCCAUCUUUGUGGUCCACACAUGAGAGACGUGACACUAUAGCUAGUACAACUAUUUGUAUUUACACGUUACUCCCUCCGUCCCAAAUUGUACGACGUUUUCAGACAUAUUAAAAAAUACAAUUAAUAUUGUCUGGAAAAGAGAUAUUAUGAGUUGUUUUACAAAAUUGUCCUUAAUAAAUAAUAUGGGAAAGAUAAAUGAAAGAAUUGAAAGAAGAGAGGGUAAUAAAUAAUUAAGAUUAUAACAGAAAAAGUAACAUUAAUGUUGUAUUGGUAUUGUAAAGUGACAUAUAAUUUAAGUUAAAUUUUUUUCCCUAAAGCGACAUACAAUUUGGGACGGAGGGAGUAGUUUUUAGGUCAAUAGUUACACCUUAAACCCUUAAUAAUUGCUAGGCAAUGUUCUCACCGUUCAUUGCACAACAAGACUUUAUUACUAGCCAUUAUAUUUGUAUGUCUAUAAAUAAAUGCUCACAAUAAAUUAUAAGCACAUUCUCACUCUUCAAAACAAUGAACUCCUUAGCAACUUCUAUGUGGUGUGUUGUGCUUUUGGUUGUGCUUGGAGGACUACCCUUUUCCUCAGAUGCACAACUUAGUCCCACUUUUUACAGCAAAACUUGUCCAACUGUUAGUUCCAUUGUUAGCAAUGUAUUAACAAAUGUUUCUAAGACAGAUCAACGCAUGCUUGCUAGCCUCGUCAGGCUUCACUUUCAUGACUGUUUUGUUUUGGUAUGUCUUUAGGUGACUACUUUAUAUUUCUAAUAUUAUCUUUAGAUUUAUAAAUAUUAGUUUAAAAUAUAUUAUAAUACAAUAUGGUUAGUUCGAUCCAUGCGCAACUCCUAUAUAUUAUACAACUAAAAAUGGUAAAUAAUUGUCUACUACAACUGAUCAACAGACGUUUCCUAAAAAAAACGUCAAUUAGAUAUAUCUUCAUUUGUCCCUUUGAAAUUAACUGUCUUUUGAUCGAACUUUUAUUAUAAUGUCCCUUUUACAAAAUAGAAGGAUUAGAACAAAGAAACAAUAGAAAAAUAAUUCUUAAACACCUAAAACCAUUCUACCAUUAAAGAAAGAAGAAAUAAAUGGAAAUAAUAUAUGUGAUAGGUUGUUGAUAUAAUAGGAAGAGAGAGAUGAAGAGAAAAUAAAUGUAGAAGUAGAAUGUACGUAAGAAAAGUAAGAGAGAUGCAAAUAGGGUUCUAAUAAUUGUCUUGCACUUCUUUUCUUUAUAUUUUAUAAAAUUAUGCAUUAACUAGUAUUUUCUAAAAAUUGUAGGCCAAGUAUAUGAAUCAACUUUCUUUUUUAAGUUUUUAACUUUCAAGUAAAUUUUUAAUAUGCUUUUUUACCAUAUGUUCUUUAAUUUAUGCGUCAAAAAAUAAUGUGAUGCAUAAUUUUCACAGGGAUGUGAUGCCUCGGUUUUGUUGAACAAUACUGCUACGAUCGUAAGCGAACAACAAGCUUUUCCAAAUAACAACUCUUUAAGAGGUUUGGAUGUUGUAAAUCAGAUCAAAACUGCUAUAGAAAGUGCUUGUCCUAACACAGUUUCUUGUGCUGAUAUUCUUGCUCUUGCUGCUCAAGCAUCCUCUGUUCUGGUACAUAUGCCCUAAUUCUAAAUAUAUUUCUGUAAUUUAAUGCCUCGUUGAUCAUUAAAUUUCAAAUGCAAUAUUUAAAUGAUUCUAUUUCUGUUCUGAGUAUAUAAUACUAUAAUAUAUGCAUUUGAUAAUGGUUGCAAUCCAACAAAAAUGAUCAUAUAGUUAAUUAAGGUAGCGGCGCCGUCUGUAUUUUGUUUUCAGUUUUUGCCGCGAGUUUUUAUGCGCCUUGCAUUUACUCGACGUGAAUAAAUUUUCCGUUUCAAAAAAAAAAGUUAAUUAAGGUAGCUUCAAAAUCUAGGGUUAUUUUUAUAAUGAUUAAAUAAAAAAACCAUUUCAAGAAGUUAAUCAUCUAUGAAAAUUAAAUACUACAUCACAAGGCUAAGAGUAACACUUAUUUUACCUAUGAUGAAAUAAUACAGGCACAAGGUCCUAGUUGGACAGUUCCUUUAGGAAGAAGGGAUGGUUUAACUGCAAACCGGACACUUGCAAAUCAAAAUCUUCCGGCCCCAUUCAAUACCUUGGUUCAACUUAAAGCUGCAUUUACUGCCCAAGGCCUGAAUACUACUGAUCUAGUUGCACUCUCGGGUUUGUGCUCAUUUUAGCGAUGAUGUUGACGUUACAUAAAAUAAAAAUUAUAUAUAUGAUUAUUGAUUUAUAUAUGUUUCUCGUUUUCAGGUGCUCAUACGUUUGGAAGAGCUCAUUGCGCACAAUUUGUUGGUCGAUUGUACAACUUCAGCAGUACUGGAAGUCCGGAUCCAACUCUUAACACAACUUACUUACAACAAUUGCGCACAAUAUGUCCCAAUGGUGGACCUGGCACGAACCUUACCAAUUUCGAUCCAACGACUCCUGAUAAAUUUGACAAGAACUAUUACUCCAAUCUUCAAGUGAAAAAGGGCUUGCUCCAAAGUGAUCAAGAGUUGUUCUCAACAUCCGGUGCAGAUACCAUUAGCAUUGUCAACAAAUUCAGCACCGAUCAAAACGCUUUCUUUGAGAGCUUUAAGGCUGCAAUGAUUAAAAUGGGCAAUAUUGGUGUGCUAACAGGGACGAAAGGAGAGAUUAGAAAACAAUGCAACUUUGUUAACUCAAAUUCUGCAGAACUAGAUUUAGCCACUAUAGCCUCCAUAGUAGAAUCAUUAGAGGAUGGUAUUGCUAGUGUAAUAUAAAUAAAUUAGCGUCAAUGCACUUAUUGAAAUCUUGUGACUAGAUGCCACUAAUAAAUAAGUUAUAACUAGGCACAUUUCAUGUCACUUGAAAUCCUAUGCUUUGUAUAUGAAAGGACGUGUUCUUCUUGGUAUUAUACUAUAAUGAGACUUGUAUUAUGAGUCGUGUUUAUGAUCAAUGUCACGCUUUCUUGUUUGUGACAUGCUUUGCCAUAAUUUUAUGAGUCACUUACACUUAAGCACAUUAUUUGGUUCAUAGUAAAAAAAAAGUUAUAAGCAUAUUGUAACGAUCAUAUUUGACUGCUUUUACACGAUAACACCACUUCAAUUCAAUUUACCUAAGCAAGUAUGGAAAUUCAAUUUACCUAAGCAAGUAUGGAAACAAUUAAUUGGAGGGAGGUGACAAGUCACCGAAACAAGAGAUCAUAGCAAGAAAAAAGGCCGGCUCAAAGAUUUUUUUUGAAAGAUUUGUACAAAUAAUUUAUAGAAGUUGUGAAUAUAUAAUUAAUAAUGUUCUCAGUCGUGCUUCAGGUGCAAUUGUUUCAAGGUUCGCUUGGUUGGAGAAGUAUCGUUAGUUAGAACACCGUCGCUCAACGAUGUGCUGUUUUGCGGUGGUCGUCAUUUUGGUUUUGUUUGACUUUGGGGGUUGUUUUGGUUAUGAUUAUUGUUUUUGGAUGUUCCGCCUAUAUACGACAUCGUUGCUUUGUAAAUCUUAUUUCACUUGUCUUUGUUCCUCUUGAACAAGGAUUUCUUAUUAAUAAAUUUAGCCUUUUAAAAAAAAAGUUGUGAAUAUAAUUAAACUAAUAUAUUUUGCUUACUUUGAAAUACUCUUUGAUCACGUACUUUGAAAUAUUCUACUUUUGAGUUUAUAGACAUUCUUUCAUAAAGUAAAUUUAAUUCUUCUGCUAUAGUACUAUUAUUGUUUUCCUUGAGAAUUCAAAACUAUGCAAAUAUUGUCCUCGUUAAUUAAUUCUUCUACUCUUAUUGAAACCUGUUUAAUAAACUCAACUAAAUGUACAAAACAGGGAUGGAGUAGAAUUCUACAUUCAAUUCAAAUAAAUAUGAACCAGGGAUGUUCCCAUGUUGAACAUUUGACCUUUGAUAGCGCUUGCCCAAGGGAAGCGGCAAGGUACACAUUUCAUAGCAAUUUCUCUAAAUACGCUAUUAAAUGUCAUACAGUCUUUGAUAGUGAAAAUCUGAGAAGGCUUGCAAGCGCUAUUAAAAAUAUUUUUUGGCAUAAUACACAUUCAACCGAACAUAGAUCUCUACAUGAUAUUGAAAUUCUUUAUUAUAAAUUGGCAUGUUUGAAUCCAUCCUCUGAAGCAUGGGUACUCCAAACAUGGAGAAGUACUGAUAUCUGGUACGCGUAUGGUAUUCGUAACUUAGUACCAAACCGUACCUAUUUUUACUUAGUUGUUUCGUCGUUGUUGGUGCAGCAAAAACGUACGGACGGUUGAAAAAUAGCCAAAAUUAUUUUGCUUUUUUAUUGUAUUUUAAUUCUCUUGCUUUUGAUGAAAAUAUUAGAGGGGGUGCAUAAAAAAUGUAAAACUCUCAAGCAACAUGAUGAUAGAAGUGUAGUAAUUCACUUGAAUUAUUAUUAUUUUUUUUUUAUGUUUUAUACCAACGUAACCAUACCUUUAUUUUUUAAAAUUUGUCAUAUUACGUAUUGGAUACCCUACCCGUACCUAUGCAUCAUAGUAUAUCCAUCUUAUCAAUUGAACGAUACCAAAAGUUAAUUUACCCUUUUAAUAAUCAUAGUGACAAAAAGUUGCGAUUAUAUUUUCUAAUGAAUUAUUAUGAUUAAUAUUUGAUUUGCAUCGAGAGGAUCACAUAAAUUAUGUUUUAGAUUUGUGGAUCAAAUGAACUUUGCAUAUGUUCAAGAGAGCUAUGUGUAUGAGGUUUAAAUUUCAAACUCUACUACUAAUAAUUCCUGUCCUCAUGGAUUAAAUAAGUAAGGUUGAUCAAGAGAAUUUAUAGCCUAACAUACAUCAGGCACAUGUCAUACAAAUUUUUUGUAUAAAUUAAAUAGACAAGGUUAAUUAAUUAAGAUUUAUUUAGAAGCAUAUUUAACUAGAAAGGCGAGAUGAAAUUGAUGUUAUUCCAUACUAAUGCCUCGUUGCAUCACACGCUACGGGAAGGUAACCAGUGCGCAGAUUUUCUUGUCAAAUUAGGAGCCUCUUCGGACGUCACUCUUUCAGCUCACCCUCAUCCCCCUGAUGAUCUUCGCCCUUUGUUGAGGACAGAUGCCUUAGGAACUUUGUUCUUACGAAGAUAGUUUUUUCCCCUAGAGGGUUUAUCUCUUUCUUUUUUUCUGUUUUUUUAGCAUUGUAACCAAAAAAAAAAAAAAAAACUCUUAAGUCACUGAAAAAGUCUUUUAAACCUAUUCUAUAAAUAUUGUACUUUAUGUUAAAUCAAAAAUUUGCUAAUAUAGUUUGUAAUUAAUUAAGCAUCCUAGCUUUCAUCAAUUUUUAACAUAUUUAAGUGUCUUACUACAAAUUAACUUUAAAUAUGAUGUUACAUAAGUCAUGAUUAUCUAAAAAGUCAUGUUAUAGAUAUUAAAAUACAACUUAAUUUAAUUAAUUGGUCUAUUAGUUUGUGUCUAUUUUUGUAAGUAUGAAAUAAAUCUUUAAUUGCACUAAAAAUAAAAUUUAUGACAAGUAACGAGUUAAACUUAUAUCUUAAAUUCUUUUUUUAUCAUAAUAGAUUUCUUGAUUACCUUUGAAAAAUGGUGGUAAUUUACCUACCAACCAAUGAAAAUGAGCAAUUUGUUGGUGGGGUCAAGAUAGUUCAUGGAUGCCACUUAAAAAUGUGUUUAUGUGGCUAUUGUGUAUUGGAUGGGGUAAAUUACCCACCAUUCUUCUAUGGGUACCCUAGUUGUCACCCUUGAAAAAAUUGUAUAAUGGAGUCAAAGAUAUGUUUCGUGUGGAGACACAACUUGAGAUCUCAUAUUUUCGGAUUGACAAACAAAUUAACAACCAUCAUAGAAUUAAUAGUAAAGUCAAACAAAACAUAGCUUGUUAAAAAAUAUCAAAGUUUCUUUUUCGUUAAAUUCAAAGCUUAGGACAGGGCAGCAGAUUAAAUUUUAGACUAAUGAAUUGUGGGAUAUAUCACUAAUCAUUCACUAAAGCAAUAAAAAGUCCAAAGGUUUAGAUUUGAUCUAGCUAACUUAAAGUUUGAAUAAUGUAACAAAUUAUUAUGUCAUGCACGUGGUUAACACAUAUAUAGAUAUUAUUAACAAAUGAAGUUUAGCUGUCCAAGUUUAGGUAUAUGCAUGCAUAAAUAAUUUUUUAAUAGGUCGAUUAGCUGCCCUGUCUUCAUGCAAAAUUUCAUCCACAAGCUAACUCGGGGGAGACAAACAAAGAAGACCGACAAAAGUAGGUUUAAUUUCAUCUCGAAGAUCUCGAGCAUAAGAUUCUUGUUUCCUUGUAGGUAUAUAUCCCUCCGUUUUUAAAUAUAAACAAAAAUCAUUUUUUAGGUUCAUUCAUUUAAUAAUGUAUGUGGUUCAUAAUAUGAAAGUUCAUAAUAUGAACCACAUACAUCAUCAAAUGAAUGAACCUAAAAAGUAAUUUUUACUUAUAUUUAAAAAUGGAGGGAGUAAUAAAUUUUCUUUUUUUAGCAGCCUUCCAAAUAUAUAAGUUAUGCCCAAGGGUAUUUAUAGUAUUGUAAAUUAACAUUAUGCUUUAUUGAAGUUUUUUAAAACAAAAAUAAAUAAAUUUCCAGAAAACAUAUUAUUUAUUUCCGGAAACUUAAUUCAAUUGUUAAGGAUAUGAAUAUUGCAUAUUAUAUAUAAGGGUUGAGAUUCGAACUUCGGAUACCACAUUAUUUAAUAAAAAAAAAAAAACGCAUAUUCUUUUUUAUGUUAACCUUCUCUUGGUAUUCUAAUUUUCUUUGACCGAAGAUUCUUUGAGUUAGAAUUUAAAGUUGAGUUUUUUGAACGAUUUAUUGCUGUUAUUGAACUUAAAAGUUAGUCAAGUGAUUGGCAAAUAAUUCUUGAUUGUGAUUUUCUUUGAGCAUCAAACAUUUACAUUUUCCAUUUAUUAACAACUCCAUGUGUUAAGUAUGAAGUUGAGUAUUUUGUGAGCUAUUAUACUAAGAAUUGCAUAAGUAAAAAAGUAAAGUAGAAAAACAAACGACAAAUUUGCAAAAAAAAAAUAAAAAAUAUCUUGAGUUGAAUGAUAUUUAUAGAAAAAAACUAGUCAUGUUGGCCAGUACAUUUUAGCCUAAAAAAUCUAGCCUUGUUCGACUAUUUAUGCGGAUAAUACAUGAAUCUUCAUGUUGUUGUAUGUAUGUGGCACUCUAGGUCUAGCCUGUUUUCCCCAUCUUGCGUCGUUUUCUAUUUUUCCUUAUCAAUGCAUGCUACAUUGCUUCAAAAUGUGCCAUUGUGAACAUAGUUCCUUCAGUUAGCGACAUUAUAAACAUGGGGCACGAGCAAAACAUAGAAUUGACAAGUUCCACAUGUCUUUCAUUGCUUCUAACACUCCCACGACCUGCGUGAACCGUAUUGGACUUAAGAAAGAUUCUCCAAUCUCGAAUUCAUCUUUAUUAGAUUCGGUUAUCUUUCAUUCGACUAUAUUGGGGAUUCAUAUGACCCUUAAUUCAACUGUUUUCCAUUCUCAACUAGCCACUUAAUUAUUUUUAGGUGUAAACAAAUGUUCACAACCAAUUUCAGGCAUGUCCUACCGGUUUCUCUCCUAACUAAGGAUGCAUUUCGUUGAUGACCAUGGAUGCCGACUCCGUUUCAAAGAAUUUGACAUAAUGUUUUCGUGCCUUUUUAUGAACCUUUUGGAAUAACAGUUAUUCCAACUGCUUCAGGUGUCAUCUUAACCAUAUGUUCAUGUCCAAAAUGAUGGUUAGUAUGAUUUAACGUAUCAUUCGUUAUUGGUUUCAUGUAGGGUAAACUGUGACAAAAGUACUAAGAUAGGAAUUUAUGGGAAUGAAAGAUGUCUACUAUAUAGAAUUUUGUUAACCUGCUAAUGAUCCACCAUAAUCAUGACCUACGAAGGAUUUGAAGUUUAUAGUCAGUCUAUGUUUUUGAGAUUUCCUCUAGAAUGCAAGUGCAUGCGUCAAAUUUAAUCAUGACCUGGAAAAUAGUUUUUUUUUUUUUUUUUUGUGAUAUUGGUCAUAAUGUCCCACUAGACGUGUGAAAUAUUUAAUCAUGACCUAUCAAUUGUGAUUCCCUUUGCGCAUCAAACAAAUUACAUGGAGGAAAAAAUUGAUGUGCUUCAACUAUGGGUUCUUUAACUCCUAAAAAGUGAAGGAGAAAUGUUAAUGCUAAAUUUGCGAAAAAUAGUUUGGUUUUGAUUAUUUUUUUGUUAAAUAAAAUCUACGAAUGCGGUAUUUAUGGAAAAAAUUAGUUCAACUGGCCAAUACAUUGUAGCCUAAAGAGUCGAGACUUGUUCAACUAAUUUUGCAAGUAAUGGGUAAAUCUUCCAUUUGUUGGGUGUACAUGGCAUCCCACUUCUAGCAUGUUUCCCCCCAUCUCACAACAUUUCAUCGGUGAUGAUGGUUGUUUCUGUUAAUGGUGAUAUAAUUAUGGAACACUAUUGAAAAUGUUAAAUUGUCAAGUUUCAUGUACAUUUGACUACUUCUGAUACUCCCUAAGACCUACAUGAAGUUUAGUGGAUUUGAGAAAGAUUCGCCUAUCUCAUAUUCUUUGAAUUAAACUCCAACUCGUGACGCCGACAAACCCUUUAUUGAUAAUACUCAUUAACAACAUCAGAGUCAAUACAAACCUCCACAAGCUUAAAAUAUCUGUCAUAAACCAAUUGAACUAGGGACGAACCCACCCUUAUGGGUAGUGUGGGUUAUGGCCUACACUUAGUUUUAAAAAUCAUUUUUUUAGUAUUUAAUACACUAAAAAAAAAACAAAUUAUAUGACAAAGACAAAGACAUAUGCCUCCACUAUGUUUGGAUUUUUUUUUUAAAUAUUUGAGUUCUUUUGUUGAGAAAGUGCAAGAUAUUUGUCAUAAUAAUAGUCUUAAAAUUUAUCAAAAUUACGAAAAUACGCACUUUUUUUUUUUUUUUACAAAAACAAACUUAAAAGUAUCUUUUAUUGAUCACUUUGAUCUUUAGAUAUGACUUUUAUUAAUUAUUUAACUAUUUAGUACUCAAAUGUAUUUUUUGUUAGUAAGUUGGCUUAAAUAUGUAUUUGAUCUUUGCAAUUAAAGGUCGUUUAAAAAUUGGUCCCUGUAUUCGCUAAUCCUUGCAAACUAGUCUUGCAAUCAUUAAUCAUUUAAAAUUUAGUCCUUUGACCAACUUAAUCACUGCCACGUCACUAAUUUGAUGACGUGGCAAUCACUGUCAAACAUGAAAUUUCAAUUUUGCCCUUAAGAAGAGGACAAAAUAUUGAAGAAAGAAUUGGAAACUCAGGGGUAAAAUUGGAAUUUCGUGUGGCAUGGCAGUGAUUAAGUGGGGAGAGGGACGAAAUUUUAAAUGAUUAAACAAUGCAGAGGUAAAUUGCCAGGAUUAGCGAUUACAGGGACCAAUUUUUAAACGACCCCUAAUUGCAAGGAUCAAAUACAUAUUUAAGCCUAGUAAGUUUUAUUAAAUUCAAAUAUUGUAGUCACAACUCAUCAUUCAUUUAGAGAUUAAAACGAUUAUUUUUAAACUUUGUAGUAUCAUACAUGUGACAACAAUAGGAGUUAUAGCCCUUUGAGGAUUUUUGUACAACUUUUGUUUAUGUUGUGUCGUUGAUGGUGUUAGCUUUGUUUUGGUAUUUCUAUUUAUUGAUUUUGGAUAUAGCCCUUUGUUAGGAGGUGUUUUCUAUAAGUUUUUUUUUUUUUUUUUUAUUCACGGGUGUAUGAGUUUUUCAUUGGAUCUUCUCAUCUAUCCUUUAUAUGUUACUACUUUAAGACUCCUAACCUAGCACUCCCUGUACUGGUUAAGAUUCAUCGCGAUGUUAAUAAAUUCCAUUUUAGUUUUUUUUAAAAGAAAAAAAAUACAUGUGACAACAAUAGGAGUUAUAUAGCUCUAUAGUAAUACACCCGAUAAUUCAGCUGUAUAUGAACCUGUAGUUUAAAUUUGUUUAUUAGCUUAGUAAAAAAAUUAUUUUGCGAAAAUUUCUGUGAGUUUUCUAUGAUAACAUGCAGCGAUUGUUAACAUCGAUCUACGCAAUCUUUCACAUUUGAUUAUUUCUCUGUACUGUAUCAUUUCUGUUUUUUAUAAGUCAAUUUAAUUUAUUAAAAUUAUUUGAAAACUAUAACCUUGAGUGCAAGUGAGGAACUAUGCAAGUUGUCCCAAUAACAGAAAUCGAUCAUAGUCCAAUUAAAAUACCGCAAAAUUCAAAUUUGAUGUACUAAUAAUUGUGGCAUACUUUUAAAGACAUAAUUAAAUAUAAAAAUAAUAGAGUGGUGAUAUUUGAACAACUAUUUGAUACAACUUUUGUGACAACUUCUUUUUUCUCUCUUUUCAUUGGUUAAAAACAAUGGAGAGAGAAAAAUAAAGAGAGAGAAUAAGAGUAUAAUAUGAAUAUGAAAGAUAAAGUUGUCACAAAAUUGUAAAAAAGGAUUGUACAAAUAUCAUUUCUCAAACAAAAAAUAUCAGAGAUGUUGAAUUCCUCAUAGUUCGUGGGAUUUGCAAAACCUAACUAAUAUUCAAAUCUGUCAUUGGGUAAAACAAAAGAAGGAAAAUGAAACAUGAAUUAUAUAUGUCACAUAUUAUAUAUGUGGGGAAAAUGCUUUUGAGAAAGCAUAUGGUGAUGUGAGACUUUAACAAUUUAUAUAUAUCCCCUUUAGGGUUAGGGGUAAGGUAAACACCAAAAUCUUUGUUUUUAGUCUUAAAAAGGAUGAAAAAUUGAAAAAAACAGUGAUUUAAAGAACGACCUAAAGCAAGUCAAUGACCAAAAUAAAUACGUGUGAGGUACUCCAUAAACAAUGUACCGGAUUUCUUGUUUUUGCUUUUCUGACAUUGAUGUUCCACGUCAUAACGUGCAACAUUUAUUUAUUGAAAAGGAUCCACAACUUGUUGACAAAAGCAUGGUAGUAUGGGGACAGCAUUAGUUUUCUAACGCAACCUUAUCUGAAAUAAGAAAUGAUAUUUCUAAAUUGUUUGCUCAAAAACGGUGGUGGUGGUUUAUGAUCAAUUUUUAACUAAAAUUAUCAUUUUGAAAUAUUUUUUCUCUUUUAUUUAAAUAAGUGAUUUUUAUAUUUAUUUAAUUUUUCUUUUGAGAUUUUCUCAUCUUAGUACGAUAGUGUUUUGUUCGUGGUCUAUAUACAAUAUUGUUUGUUUUUUCGUUUUGUUAAGAUGUUUAUUUAAUUCAGAUUGUCAUAUCAACUUUGAUCAAGAACAUAUCCCUAUAAGACAAGGUGCAAAAAUGAAGGUCUUCUACACGAAGACGAUGAACAUGAUCUUUAAAAUGGGACGCGAGCCAUGAUGAACUUUGGGGUCUUCCACACUAGGACAAUUAUAGAGCUUAUAUGUAAAUCUUCUUUUAUUCAAGGUUAUAUAUGUAAAUCUCUUCGAUACAUUAUACAUUGAGUACAAUGUAAUAUUUUGAAUAUGUUAGUUUUUUUUUUGUCAAGAAUAUGGUAGUUUUAUAUGCAUGAUUAAUUAUUAUUAUUAGGUUUAAAUGCAGUUUUAUCUCCCCUCCCUUAUUUUGACUCAAACUGGAUUUUACCCCUCCUAUUUUAAAACUCGGAAUUUCACCCCCCCUUCCCCCCAGUUUAAUGUUUUUCAGAAUUGUGCCCCCCUAUUUUAAAAAUCGGAAUUUUACCCCUCCAGUUUAAUAUUUUUCAGAAUUUGGUUGAUGUGGCGGUGCUAACGUGGCUUAAAUAAUAUUAAAAAAACACUCACCUAUUUAAAUUAUUUAUAUUAAAUAUUCUGAAUUAAAAAAAAGAGAAAAAAUCAAUAAAUAAAAAAUGUAUUGCUUGUUCAAAAAAAAAAAUGUAACUUAAAAUAAUAAUAAUAAUAACAACUUUUCUUAUAUUUCCUUCAAAAAAUCAUUUUGCUUAUAUGCACACACCAAAAUCCAAAAUCCAAAAAAUACCAUAAAAUGCAUAAAAUAAUGAAAAAAAAAAGCAGGAAUUAUUAAACCAAAAAUUAUAAAACUAGAAGGAGAAAAAGCAGUAAAAAUACUAGAAAAUGGAGAUAAAAGGUAGGAAAAAAAAUCAGAAUAACAGAAAAAAAUCCCAUUAAAAAUACAUGAAAGGAAAUGUAAGCAAAUUGAUGUUUUGGAUUUUGGUGUGUGCGUAAAUCAGAAUAAACAACAACAAAAAUCCCAUUAAAAAUACAUGGAAAGAAAUACAAGCAAAAUGAUUUUUUGGUUUUUGGUGUGUGCAUAUAAGCAAAAUGAUUUUUUGAAGGAAAUAAAAGCAAAAUGGUUAUUAAUAUUAUUAUUAUUAUUAUUUUAAGUUACAUUUUUUAUUUAUUGAUUUUUUUUCUCUUUUUUUAAUUCAGAAUAUUUAAUACAAAUAAUUUAAAUAGGUGGAUGCUUUUUUUUUAAUAUUAUUUAAGCCACGUCAGCACCGCCAAAUUCUGAAAAAUAUUAAACCGGGGGGAAUUCCGAUUUUUAAAAUAGAGGGGGCAAAACUCCGUAAAACAUUAAACUGUGGGGGGGGUGAAAUUCCGAGUUUUAAAAUAGGAGGUAAAAUCCAGUUUGAGUCAAAAUAGGAGGGGCAAAACUGCACUUAAGCCUUAUUAUUAUUAUUAUUAUUAUCAUCAUCGUCACUGUUGUUGUUGUUGUUGUUAUAGUUUUAUAUUUUGCACCCCGGCCUAGGGUCAUAAAUACGUCACUGCCACCAACAGCAAUCUCGACCCGCUCUCUUUUUUCUCCCUCAACACCCUUCUUUCCAACCUCCUUCUUCCCACUCGUAACAUCCCCUCCGUCUCCAUCUCCUUAGAAUUCUCAAAGUAAUCAUACCUUGCAACCUUAGCAAAGACCCAAUAAUUACCAAAACAAACAUUAUUCAAUGUUUUAAAAAGUUUUCCAACAUCAAGUACAUUGUUGAAGCGAACAAAACCAUAUGCAUGACCAUUCACGUUACACUUAUUUGCCAAGUAAACAUCUUUCAAAAUUUCACAAACAUCAAAACUUUGCCGUAAACAAAAAUAGGGAAUUUUCUCCAGCACGUUUGUAAGAUAAAAAGAAAAAAAAACCUCUUGAAUUGUGACCCCACAUGAUCGGACCUAUUAUGUUGUAGAUGACGAAUAUCAAAAUUAGAACCAGCCCCUAACCAUGCUGAAACUUGAUGCGAGCCAUGUUGAGUGUAUCGCGACCUUGAAUGCACAAUACUUUGAUCCUGAAAAACCCUAGCCCUAACCUGUUAAAACCGAUGCACACCAAUACCUCCUUGCCGCGAUGUUGCCUGUUAUCUGUCCUGGCCAAUAUGACCCCAUCCAAACAUUUUUCGACGUCGCCGACUCACCUCUGUUCAUUUCCCUCAAUCCCCCCGAAGAACCUUAGUGUCGGCGAUAUGAAAUGUCGACGCGAUUGCCCUCGGCGAAUCCUAGGGUAAUCGCCCCUCUCAACAUUUUUCAUAUUUGCUAAUAGAGAAGAGUUAUUUGAACAACCAUUUGCUUGAUAACUUAUGUAACAACCAUAAUUUACAAAGAAAAAAAUAGGUAUUUGCACAAAAACCAAAAUAAUAAAAAGAUAAAAUAAAAAUUAAUGUGAAUAUAAAAGAGAAAAUUGACACAAAAGUUAUCACAAAAUAAAUGUUCAAAUAUCAUUUCCCUUCCUAAUAACUCCAAAUGCUAAAUAUGGUCUGAAGCCAACAAAUAUGGUGGCAUCUAAUGAAAUGACAUCACAAGUUGACAACCAAUAAAAUACUUGGGUACAUAUGACUCUUGCAUGCUUUUUAUUUUAUGCGAUUUCCCUGUUUCCUUUUGAUAGGUUCUGGGCAAUUUCCUGAGCUAGUACAUUGGUGGAGAAAUAAAACAAAUAUGGUAUGGUACAAUUGGAGAAAUAAAUUUUAUAUGGACCUCCCAAAAUAAUUUUGUCAUCGUUAUCGAAGACAUAAAUAUUGGUCCCCAUCGCUCACGUGUUAUUUGUUUGACUCUUGAUAAUCACGGGUUAAUCAUUAAUUCAUUCAUACACUUUUUUUUUUACAGAAUACAUUCAUAACUUUUUUUUAGGGGUAAAAUUCAUUCAUAAACAUUGUACCAAAAAAAAAAAAUAUAUCAUUCAUUCAUAAACAUAAUAGUUUCUGAUAUUAUUCUCUCAAAAAAAGUUUCUGAUAUUAUUGUUGUUCAGCCGAGGGGUUUGGUGGCGGUGCCAAUAAGUAUGAUUGUACUGCUGGGUGUGCUGAUCUUAUUAGGGAUCAGAAGAUGAGUGAUUAGGGGAUUCUUUGGAUUUUUGGAGAAAUACAUUCGAUAAUUUAAUUGUGACACAUAAAUCAAUUAAAAUAUUUUUUUCUCUCUCUUUUGCAUGUUUUUAUGCUUAAAAAAAAUUGUAUUGUCACAUAUCAUAUUUGAAUUUGCCAAUAUCAUAUAUAUUAUGUUACACAACACAAAUGCAAUCCACCUGUGACUCUGUGAGGGAGUAGUAUAGAAGGUCUUUGUUGGUAUGCAAAGUGGUUGGGUUUUAAUCUAGCAAAUUAUAUGUGGAUUCUUAGGUUGUGGUGAAUAGUAGUAUUAUUAUUAUUAUGAAGGGGCAGCAGUAGAAUGUGAUUGUAAUGUGUCUUGUUCAAAGGAUUUGACAACUCUUACUGGAUGGAGUGAAAGGUGAAGGAUCAACAUUUAUAUCUUGAGGACAUGUGUGUUGAUCUUUAACUAAUACUACUCGUCUUUGUAUACAAGUUUUCUACGUCAUUUUUACAUUUAUUAAGAAAAGUUGUUAAUGUAAUUUUUAUGUUUAUUUUAUGUGUUAAUAUUAUUAAGUUAUUUUUGGUUUAUAUGUAUAUUAAAUUUGAUUUUUUUUUUUCAUAUUUUAAGAGAAGUUAGUAGUAUUUUUUUGAAAAAAAGACACGUCAGUGGUAUUAAUUAGUUAUAUGUUUAAAAAAAAAAAAAAUCAUCUAAUAAUUUGUAUAAACAAUUAUAUUUAGGGACAAUACAUUUUAUCAAAAUCCUUAUAAUUAUGGACGGAGUAAAUAUUAGGUAAAAUGAGAUAUGAGAUGAUGUUUUAUGAAUCUUGUCCGACACAAAUUAGUCAUUUGUUUGCUGCUGAUCAAUCAAGAUUUUCUUUACCACGUUGGGUUAAGAUAUAAUUUCUUCAUGUUAGUAAAAAAAAACAUUAAUUUCCGUGAGCUUAGUUUAGUUGGUAAGUAAAGACAAUGCAUAAUAUAUGCAAGGUCUGUUCGAUCUCUGAACACCACAAAAUAAGAGUAAAAAAGGAUUAAUAUUUUUUAGAAAUUUAAAUUUUUUUUUUAUUAAUUUAUAGAGCUUUGUUUGUACCAAUUAUUUGUGUGCACAUAUAUAUAGGAGAGAUAUUGACUCCAAGAAUAAGUUUAUAGAUUUACUCUAAAUCUCCACCUUUCAUCUCAUUUUAAUCUAAUGGUUUAAAUGUUAAUUUUUGAAGGAGAAGUGAUUUUCUUCUUCUUCCCGGUUCAAAAGCAUAUCAAAUUAUGAUUUUUUUUCGAAGGCAAACUCAAUUAUGACAAAAAUAUCUUCAAAUAUGUCAAAAAAUUGAAAUUUACUACUUUACAUAAAGUGAUCAUAUUUUAAUUUCUCAAUGACAUGUAUGGAAAAACAACAAAUUUAACCUUAAACUACUAAAAGAAAGGAGCUUACUAUUCUCCAAAAGUUGAGGAUGAAAGUUUUGUUUACCACGAGAAAUCAUGUCAUUUUUUUCCUUUCAAAUCACCCAAGAACUAGCAAAUCAACUCAAUAACAUGAAAGAGCUCAUUGAUUUUGCAUAACCUGAAGAGCCACCAAAUUAUAAAAAUGAUCCGCAAUAAUAGAUGAAUUCGCUGAAUGAACUCCUAGCUAGCCAAUUGCAAACAAGUUGCCAAAUUGUACUAAAAAACUACAAUCCAAAAAUAAACGAUUCUAUGUUUCCAACAAUCCACAGCCACACAACUGAGACUCAUGUGAUACAAUUCCUCUUCAGAAUAAAUUCACCUUAGUUGAUAAUCUAUUCAGAAGAAAUCGUCAAGCAAACACCGACACCUUCAACGGGACAUCCCGCCGCCACAAGAGAUCCGAGGAAAUGAAGUCAUCAGUGGGAAUCCUAUUAGUGAGAAUGUGAUAUGCACCACAGACAUAAUACCCAUCAGUUGGAUCAAGGACCCAAGAAUAUCCAGAUUUUUGGCGAGAGAUUAAAACGGAUGGGAUUAAUACAAUGGUGCAAUGUGAAUGGAAGAAGUCUUCUUUAAUAGAUUCGACAACUUUUACAAACGGGAAUGAGAAGUGAAGGUUGGACAUUUGUGUUGUGAAUACUCCAUAAAACAUAAACAUUUGCAUUGAAUAUAACAUGGGUAUUGAUGCUUUAGCUAAUAUUAAGGGUAUAACGGAGUAAGAGAUAAUUUUUAAGUCUUAUCCGAUUUAAAUUAGUCAUUUGUUAGUUGCCGAUCAAGGAAGUGUUUCUUUUCAUGUGUUUGGUUAAAAUUAAUUUCUCUUCUCUUGGGCUACUGCCCUCGUGUGAGUAAAGAAACGUGAAUAUUUUUUCUUCUUCUUCCCGGUUCAAAAUCAUACCAAUUUAUGAUUACUUUGAAGGCAGAGUCAAUUAUGACACAAUCUUCAAACAUGUAAAAAAAUUGUAAUUUACAUCUUUACAUUCAAGACGUGGAAAAAAUAAAAAAGUGGCCAUAUUUUAAUUAUUCAAUGACGUAUAAAUUCUAAUACAUACCUGCUCACGAUAUGACAGCGAUUUGUACAUUUUUUUUCUCUAUAGUUAGAUCAUCAUGAUUGAAAAAUUGAAUAUUAUUGAUUUGAACCACUAAAGCACAAAAUGAAAUGCAGCAUGCACAUGCCAUUUCUUUCUAUAAAUAAAUAGAUCGCAUAUGUGGUAACCACACUUAAGUCUAAGCUCAAAACAAGAGAAAAAUAAUGAACUCUUUCAAUCUCUCUUUGGCAGCUUUGUGCUGUGUAGUAGUUGUGCUUGGAGGGUUACCCUUCUCAUCAAAUGCACAACUUGAUAAUUCCUUCUAUAGGGACACUUGUCCUAAUGUUCAUUCCAUUGUUCGUGAAGUACUAAGAAAUGUUUCUAAGACAGAUCCUCGUAUACUUGCUAGUUUGAUAAGGCUUCACUUCCAUGAUUGCUUUGUUCAAGUAAGUAUUAUUCAUCAUUUUUAAAACUCGGUAUCUGAUCAAGGACCGACUGAUCCGUAAAACAUUUUUGGUAUUUGUAGCUCAUAUAUUUUAUAUCUAUGUUUAUGAAAGGGUUGUGAUGCAUCAAUCUUGUUGAAUACCACUUCUACGAUCACAAGUGAGCAAACAGCUUUUGGAAAUAACAACUCAAUAAGAGGUUUAGAUGUUGUGAAUCAAAUCAAAACAGCAGUGGAAAAUGCUUGUCCUAACACUGUUUCUUGUGCUGAUAUUCUUGCUCUUGCUGCUGAAAUUUCCUCUGUUCUGGUAUGUUCCAUAUCUUCUUUGUUCCAUUUCCAUUUUUUCUAGUUCUAGUUUGCAAAAACAACAACACUGUAAUAAAAAAGCAGUCAAAGAUGAGUUGAGAAUCCUUGCCAUAAAAAAAAGUUAUGUUGGAAGAACUAUUUUCUUCUUUGUUUUUAACAUGAAAGUGACAUAAAAAAAGGAAAAAAAAAAGUAUUAAAGUGUCAUACUACAAACACAAAAUUAUUUGUCGGUUUUUCCUCACGGAAAAUUAUUUGUACAAUUUAAUUGUUAUUCUUUCGAUCUCAUAAUGAGUUUCUUAGAUUUUUUAUUGUUUAUUUUCAAACACCUAGGAACAAACUUCUUAAUCCAUUUCAUAAUGAGAUGUUUUAAAAAAAAUAAAAAAUUGUUUUAAAAUAAUACCACUUUACAUUUUUGAUAUAAUUUUUUUUCCAACUUUACCAUUAAUAAAUACUUCAAUUUUUCUCUUUCUCACUAUUUCCAAUGUAACUUUAAGUUUGUCUUUUUCGCAUAAAGUUAGGAUAAUUUAGUAAAAGUGUUAUGUCUAUUGAUUAUUUUAUUCAAUUUCUUAAUUUGUGCGUCAAAACCUUAAAUGACACUCGUUGUAAAACUGAGUGAGUAUAUAAAAGAAAAUGAAUAAAAUUAUACUAAAUUAUGUUAGUAAGCAUUGGUGCAAAUUUUUUCUUACAAGGUUGACAUUUUUUUUUUCAUUAAAUAUUUUCUUUGUGAAGAAUUUUUAACAUGUGUCUUAAGGGCACAUGGACUUAACAUGACCCUUAUCAUAAAUGCAAAUAAAAAAUAAUACUAAUAAUUUAUAAGCAAUACAUAAUUAGAGGGUAUAAUUAAAAAAUAAUAAUAAUUUAAUUUACAAUAAGAAUUAAAAAUAACAUUCAUUUUAGGUUAGUUGUUUACAAAUGUAAACUUUAUUUUAUCUUUCCUUUCUUUUACUCUUUAUUUAGCUCAAUCCUCAUUUAUUCUAGUAACAUAAUUUGCAGGCUAAUGGUCCUGAUUGGAAAGUGCCAUUAGGAAGAAGAGAUAGUUUAACAGCAAAUCUAACCCUUGCUAAUAUAAAUCUUCCAAGUCCAGCUUUCAACCUUACUCAACUGAAAUCUAACUUUGAUAAUCAAGGUCUCGACGCUACAGAUCUAGUUGCACUUUCAGGUAUAGAAAUGUUUCCUAAAUUAGAGAAAUUAUUAUUAAUACACCAUUUUACAAAUGAGAUUUGAACUCGGUUCGUUAAGGGUGAUAUACCUCAUGAUGUAUGUAUAUGUGUGUAUCUAAUUGUAUAUAUGUUUUGGUAAAUUUUUAGGUGCUCAUACAAUCGGUAGAGGUCAAUGCAGAUUCUUCGUUGAUCGAUUAUACAAUUUCAGCAAUACUGGAAAUCCCGAUCCAACUCUCAACACAACCUACUUACAAACAUUGAGAACUAUAUGUCCCAAUGGUGGACCUGGUAGCACCCUAACCGAUCUGGACCCAGCCACUCCAGAUACAUUCGACUCGGCCUACUACUCAAACCUAAGGAUUCAAAAAGGCUUGUUUCAGAGUGACCAAGUAUUGUCUUCCACAAGUGGCGCGGACACGAUUGCCAUUGUCAACAGUUUCAACAACAACCAAACUCUUUUCUUUGAAGCUUUUAAGGCCUCGAUGAUUAAAAUGAGUAGAAUUAAAGUGUUAACUGGAUCUCAAGGUGAAAUUAGAAAACAAUGUAACUUUGUUAAUGGAAAUUCUGGCCUUGCCACAAAAGUCACAAGAGAGUCGUCAGAGGAUGGUAUUGUUAGCUCAUACUAAGUAAUUUAAUACAAGUUGCAUAAGAAAGGUACCUAAUAAAGAGUGUGUUCUAGAGGCACAUACAUGUUGUGCUCUUGUGGUGGAUGGCGAUAGGUUUCUACUUUGUAAACUAUGGCCAUUGAUGUAGUGUUUGUAUUAACUAUUUUCCUCUAUUAUGAUAAUUAUGUUUCUUAUAUUAUUGAUAAUGAUGAUGAGAUAUGGUAGGGAUAUUGAAGUAUUUAGGCUUAAAUGCAAUUUUAGUUUCGUAAGUUACUUUAUCAAUUGUGCCAUUUUAUCUCGCCAAAUUUUAAUUUUGCAAAUUUAACCCUUAAGUUUAUCUCAUUUAUGAUUUACUAACCCAAGAACUCAUUGCUCACAUUCCUUGACAAGAUUCUCACUGCUACCCUCAAUCAUUGUAUUUAAUAUGAAUAUUUUAUCUUUUUCAAUAAAAUUCUACACACAAUUUUACAGAUUACUAAUGAUUUACUUUAAAAAUAAAAAGAUGACUAAUGAUUUUCUUAUGAAAUAUCUUUUACGGGAGCGGUGUUUGGAGCACUUUCUCUCCUGAGUGAGAAAGAAUCCCUCCAACCAAAUCCUAGGCUUCAAAUGGGGGUUUUUAAAAUAUAAAAAGAAAAGAGAGAAGAAUCGUAAUGGUUGUGAUUAUAAUUUGAGAAAAGACAAGUGAAGUACAAUUGAGACGAUCCAUUUCCGUCUUUAUUUUUAUUUAUUUUUAAAGACAACUGUCGUGAUUAUUUUAUUUUUUUUAAUCCAUUCCCCUCGGGUAACUAUUGUAAAAAAAAAAAAAAAAAAAUAAUAAUAAAAAAAAAUAAAUUAAUAAAAAGAAAGCUCAACCAAAGAUUAUGCAAGUCGUUUACCACAAAAUAUACAAAUUGGCGCCACAUUGUUUGCAAUAUCAUGCAAACAUUCAUGAUAUUAAACAUCAUGUAAUAAAUAAUUUUUAACGGUAAAUGUGACUUUAUUUAAAAACAAUGACAAAUUUUUUUGAUAUAAAACAUUUGAAUAGUCAUUGUUUGAAGAAGGACUUUAGAGGAACUAAAAACGAAAUAUGAUAUAUUUAUAUAAGCGAAAAACUUAUUUAACUCUAUUAAAAAUAAGAAAUGUAUAUAGUCAAUUUAUGGUCCCGUGUUUGUUAAAAAACACUCAAAAGGUUAUUUUUUAAAUUUGUUUUGAAAUUGCAUUUUAAUAUCUCUUUUCAAUUGUAAGGUUAUCUUUUCAAUGUUAACCUUUUUUUUUUUAAGAAAAUCCAAAACAAAUAUUUAAACGAAAUUUCAACAGUCACACAAAGGUAGUUAGAUGUAUUUUAAUUUAAUCAUCAAAAAAAAAUUAAUUUCCCUAAAAAAAAAAAUAUUUAUUCUUAGUUUUCCUUUAAAAAACUUAAAUAAUAUUUAACUAAUUUUUUGAACAAAAACGGAACUGAACCAUGACUUAACCAUAGUCACUCUCAUAAAAUACAGCAUUGAAUAUGAGCCAGUGAUACGAAUGGGGGAGAGAGAUGACAAUUUGCUAGGCAGGAGAAGUAUAUAGGUUUAGGUAAGUAAAGAACUUAAAAACCAGGUUCUAGAUACUCUUUAUUAUAUUCCAAAAGAACUUAAAAAAAAUAUUAUAUUCCAAAAAAAGUUAUUCAAAAGUUGACAUGAACUGCAUAUCGAACAUUUCAACGUAUAAUUAGAUCCUAACGUCUCUUAUAAAGGUAUGCAAAGAAAAAGGAAAAGGAGAAAGAACCUGCAGAUAAGCAAGACCAAAAAAACUAAGGCUAACACGUUUCUUUAUAAGAAAAAAUCAUUGACAUAGAGUAUAUAUAAGGUUUAUGUAAAUAAUUAGAUUAAUUUGUGGAAAAAAUCCAAAAUUUAUAAUUCUUCAUAGGCAAAUGAAAUAUCGAACCCUGUAAUUUGUUUAGGAGAUUUAAAUCUCUUGUCAUUUCGACUAAUUCAUUGUUGUCCAUUUAUUUAGUAUAAGGAAUAGUUAUUUUCUAUUUUUAUUCUAUGAGAAUUGAUAUUUCUACAAUCAUUUUUAAACAACUUUUGGAACAAUCAUUUUUUUUUUUCUGACCAAAACAAUAGAAAAGGUGAGAAUACAUUGUGCAUUGUUAUUACCCAUGGUUGUACUACAAUAACUUCAUAUCAAUUCUAAAAUCAAUAAUCACAAUUCUUUUACUUGUUACUCUCACUGUGAGAUCUUGGCAUACUUUUUCCCGUCAUGAAAUUGAAAAUAAUACACAUAUAGAAUAGGUAUAUUCAAGGACACAAACGUGAACAAAAUGAGUCCUUAUUAGUUUAACGAAUUUAUAUAUCAUGUCUAUGAAAUAGUAUACGUAAUAUAGCCUAGGCACCGGCCUUAAACCAUACACGUACGGUGAUCACCAAAUCUAAGAAAAUCUAAGAGACCCAAAAUUCUAAAUCAUUGAAUAUAACCACAGACAUUUUGAAUGUGAAUCAUAACAAUAUAUGAGGUUGUACAAUGUACAUAUGAAGUUGGUAAUGACUAAUGAGUGUAUGACUAAGUUUUUAAUUGAAAAGUAAACACUGCCUAAUUUUUAUUUUUAUUUUUUAUAGCAGCAGCCCUAGCUUUUUAUCGUGUUCUUUAUUCUUGUUCUUGAAUAAAAGAGGUAAUAGUUAAGGAUAAAUUAAAGGGAAAUUCUUUAGCAUCCAGUUGGUAUGGACAAUGCAUAAUAUAUGCAAGAUCUGGGGUUCAAACUCCGGCCACCACAAAAAGAAUUUAUAUUACCUAUCUUAAUUAAUAGUUUUCGUUAAAUUUAAGGCUAAACUUCACUUUUCGCCCUCUAAGUUUCAAAAUGUUGCGAUUUUGGCCCCCUAUUAAAAAAAAUGGCAAAAGUGACCCCCUAUGUUUAGGGAAAUAUGCUCUUUUGACCUCCUAACAUAAGGGAAAUAUGCUUUUUGACCCCUUAUCUUUACAAAAAGUUGUGAUUAUGGCCCCUUUUUUGGGACACGUGGCGUCUUCUCAGCAAUUUUGGGAUGAAAGGGAUCAAAAUUGCCAUUUUUUUUAAUAGGGGGUCAAAAUCGCAACAUUUUGAAACAUAGGAGGCCAAAAGUGCACUUUAGCCUAAAUUUAACUAACGGUCCUCACUAUUCUAAAAAAAAAAAAAUCUUUUUUCAAUGAUUUUCUAUAUAUGUUAUAUAUUUUCUAUCAAGACUUCAAUAAACAUACAUCGAUAUAUAGUAGAAAAAGUUACAUAUAUAUAAUAGUAUUAAAGUAUGAUGAACUACAACUCAAAAACAAAAUCAAAGUGCAAAAGCACAUGGUGGAGAUUUACAUCCCAAGUAUAUAUGAUCAAAUAUAAUUAAAUAUGUGUUAAUUUAAAAAAAAAAAAAAAAAGAAAUUAAAGCACAAACAUUAUAGUCUUCCUUUAACUACAAACUAAUCCUUUUUUUAGCAACUACUCCUUUUCCUUUUUGGUUCUAGACUCUAGUAAGUAACUACUCUUUCAUAUUGCUUUAAUAAAGGUGGUAAAUAUUAUUAAAGCAUAGGAAGAAAAUUCCACGUUCUUUAAAUAAGAUUCCAACCACCAACAACAGGUACGAACCAUAAUAAAAAUAGAAAGGACAUUGCAUUGGUCGUUUGACCCAAACUAGAUAAAAGCAUCACGUUGUUGCUCAUAAUAUCAAACAUUAAUUGUCUCAAAGUGGAAAAGAAAAAAAAUGAAUCCACUUGGUCUAAGUGCAACAGCUUUUUGUUGUGUCGUUUUUGUGUUUAUUGGAGGAGUACCCUUUUCAAAUGCACAACUAGAUCCUUCAUUUUACAAUAGUACAUGUUCUAAUGUUGAUUCAAUCGUACGUGGUGUGCUCACAAAUGUUUCACAAUCUGAUCCCAGAAUGCUUGGUAGUCUCAUUAGGCUACAUUUUCAUGACUGUUUUGUUCAAGUAUGUGUGUUCUGAUCCAUCUCUUACCUUCACAUUUUCACUUUUGUGGACGGUGAACAUGAUUUCGUCAAAUUCGUUGUGAUUUCAAUCAAACAUACACACAUAAUGAGUUCAAAUGUAUAUAUGCUAAUAGUUGUGAACAUUGUUGCAGGGUUGCGAUGCAUCGAUUUUGCUGAACGAUACGGCUACGAUAGUGAGCGAGCAAAGUGCACCACCAAAUAACAACUCCAUAAGAGGUUUGGACGUGAUAAACCAGAUCAAAACAGCGGUGGAAAAUGCUUGUCCUAACACUGUUUCUUGUGCUGAUAUUCUUGCCCUUUCUGCUGAAAUAUCUUCUGAUCUGGUAUAUAUUUCCUAGCUAGUUUCCUAGUCAUACAUUUAAAUUAACUUCUAGCUAGAUAGUAUGUUGUUUAAUUUCAAAACUUCCAUGUUCGUAGAAAAUAAAAAUGAAAAUCUUCACAUUAUGGAAAACGAAUGCAAUAAAUAAAAUGUAUCCAAAGAUCUCAUAAACGAUCAAUAAAUCAGUUUUGACAAAGUAGUUAAUAGUCAAAACUAUUAACACCCCUACAUUUUUUCUAAUAUACAUAUACUUUUAAUAAUUUAUUUCUGGACGGAAAAAAUUGCCAAAUUUUCUUAUUUUCAAACGGUAAAAUGUAUUUAGAAAAAUACGCAUUCAAAAUAAACUUACAAAACUAUAUUGAUGGUGUGUUAGCAAAAAACAGAUGUCAAUAGGUAAAUAAAUAGGUUAUGUUAUAUGAACAACUGUUUUUGGAACAACUUAUAAAACAAUCAAGGUAUACAAAGAAACGUGGAUAUUAUAUUAGUACGAAAAUCAAAGUAAAUAGAGUAAGGACACGAUGAGAGUAUAAAAAAGAGAAUUGUUCUAAACCAUUUCUGGGACAACUAAUAAGAGGAUAAUAAUAGAAAUGUAAGCAUCGACACUAUAACCAAAUCAAUAAAGAGAAUAAGAAUACAAUAAAAAUAUGAAAAAAGGAGUUAUCCCUAAAUAGUUAUUCAAAUAUAAUUUCUCAAUUAUAUAUAUAAUUGGUGGGAUUUCACAAGCUUGUAAGCCCCAAUUCGGGUAAGGCAAGGCUAUCAAAUGGUGUGGUCCAGCAGUAGCAUAGACUUUUAUAUUGUGUCUGGUUAUGUAUAUUUUGGUUUGUAGAGAUCUGAUGGUUUUAAUUUUACAUGAUCAUAUCUUAUGCUAUAAAGUUGUACUUUCGUUAUCAUGUUGUUUUAUGAUGUUUUUUUAUAUACAUUGGUAAAGAAAUACUAACCGUAAAAUAAAUAGUUAAAAUAGUUUUGUACAUAAUGAAUUAGUUAUUUGCCUAAAAUUUUGACUAGUUUAAAUAAUUCAAACAAAUCAUAAUCAAAGAUAUGUGACAAUGUACGUUCUUCAUAGAAUUUCAAUUUUAUUAAUUAACAUCAUAAACCAUGAUAUAUAUUUUCUUUAUUAUCCUACAAUGCAACAAAAAUUGCAGGCAAAUGGUCCUACUUGGCAAGUUCCAUUAGGAAGAAGGGAUAGUUUAACAGCAAAUAAUUCCCUUGCAGCUCAAAAUCUUCCUGCCCCCACUUUCAACCUUACUCAACUAAAAUCUAGCUUUGAUAAUCAAAACCUCACUACUACUGAUCUAGUUGCACUCUCAGGUAUAAUUUUUUUGUUUCUUCAAAAUAUGUAACAUGAAUGUAUGUACAUAUAGUCUAAAAAUGACUCAUAUUAAGAAUCCCCCCAUUUAAUUUUUUAGGUGGUCAUACAAUUGGAAGAGGUCAAUGCAGAUUUUUCGUUGAUCGAUUAUACAAUUUCAGCAACACUGGAAAUCCCGAUUCAACCCUUAACACAACUUACUUGCAAACAUUGCAAGCAAUAUGUCCCAAUGGUGGACCUGGUACGAACCUAACCGAUUUGGACCCAACGACACCUGAUACAUUUGACUCCAACUACUACUCCAAUCUCCAAGUUGGAAAUGGCUUGUUUCAAAGUGACCAAGAGCUUUUUUCCACAAAUGGUUCUGACACUAUUUCUAUUGUCAAUAGUUUCGCCAAUAAUCAAACUCUCUUCUUUGAAAAUUUUGUUGCUUCAAUGAUAAAAAUGGGUAAUAUUGGAGUUUUAACUGGAUCUCAAGGUGAAAUUAGAACACAAUGUAAUGCUGUGAAUGGGAAUUCUUCUGGAUUGGCUUCUGUAGUCACCAAAGAAUCAUCAGAAGAUGGAAUGGCUAGCUCAUUCUAAACAUACGCUUGGAAAAUAUCGAAGAGGUUCAAUAUUUUCUGCAUACAUAUAUGAUGUGUGUAUGUGGUGGAUCACGAUAAUUAAUCUCUGCUUGUAUGCUCUUUCUAGUUCUAUACUAUGUUUUUGUUUUGUUCUUCAAGUUGAUUGGGGACCGUAGAAGCUCCCUAAUAAUAUUUGUGUCAAAAGUUUUUUAAUGUGUUAUGUCAUAAUGUUAUUUUCUAAAAUACUUAUUCAAGUAUUUAUAUGUUAAAUAUGAUUGAAUGUCUGCAUGAAAUUCUUUUAUAUUGUCAAGAAUGGAGCGAGAAACUUGUUUAAAAAAGAAAUAGCAAAACAUAUAGAACACCCAUACUCAUAGCAAAUCUUCAAAUUAAAUAGGCUUGGUCAGAUUAUUUUUGCAAGCUUAUUCUUGAGAAGUGUAGAAAUGUCAAGAAUGUUGACGACGCCAUAAUUGAAUAUAUAAAGGUUCCUUUUAAUGUAACCAACGUCUGAAAAGAAGGGAUCGAACAAACAGCAUAGAGCUUUUAAUUUUGAUAUCGAAAUAAGGCGCCCAAAUAUUUUGCAAGUUAUUAGAUAUUUCGACAUGGCUCUGGCUUGAACAAGUAGCUAAUUGUGGUGAGCACAGAAUUGAAUGGCACUAUAAAUGAAUGAAGAGGAUCAUCUCUUAAGCGUGAUCUUGCAUGCCUUUGUUUACUUGAUCACAAAGAAAGUGGAACUUGGUCUCUCCAUAUGCCUUGGCAUGCUACAUUGCAAGCUGAAAUGUAUUCAGCUUCAAUAGUAGACAAGGAAACAAUAAUUUGUUUCUUUAGCUCCAUGAAAUUGGAGAGUUGAAGAUUUAUAACACAUAUCCCAUUGAGCUCCUUCUUUGCACCCUAUCGCCACACCAGUCUGAGUCACAAAAACCGAUUAAUUUGAUAGUUCUUCCAAUUUCAUUCAAAUUUUAUAUAGACAACUUAAGCUAUAUUUGCCUAGUAGCUUUUAUUUAGCAUUAUGUUAGUUUCACAAUGCAACAAAAUUGAAGGCAAAUGGUUUUACUUGGGAAGAAGGCUUCAAAGUUCAACCUCGCCCGACAAAAAUCUACCUUUGUUACCCAAGGCCUCAAUGCUUGAUUUAGUAGCACUGUCUCAUGUAUUUGAUAAUUUCUUUUUCACCUUAAUCACUUCUCGCGCGUUCUCUAACAUUUCAAAAAUAUCUUGAGUUUUGGAUUAAAUAAUUCCAAAGGAGGAUUCUCCUAUAUUUUUGGUGGAAAAAUGUUUUUUUCACCAAUUUGAAUUCUAAAAUAAAAAUAAAAAUAAUUUAAAUUUUAUAAUUCGAACACCUUUAUACACCCAACUUCGAAGCAUAUAGAGGGCACGUUCGGAUUAUUAAAUCUGAAAGUGUUUGUUUUUUCAAAUUAUAAAAUCCAAACAUCCCGUCCCCUAUACACCCUCCCUCAUGUGCCAAAAAUUAUGGGAAAAACAAAUUGGGAAUAUAUAAUUGGAAUUAUAUCGGCACAAAUAUCGAAUUUGUUUUGUGACAAGGAUAACCAGUUUAGUAAACACAUUAACCAUUAUAACUGCUCCAGUGUGUUUCUUGUGUGUUCAUAUCUUGAAAGUGCAUAUGUCUAGUUGAAGCAAUAAAAAAAUGUCUGUUUUCGGGCGAUUGGUUUGGUUUCAUUCAAAAUCCAGGAACGAAACUACUAUAGACUCUGCGCCCUCAAAAUUCAAAAUUCUACCGUAUAGACCCAUUUUCCAUUUUUUUUAUAUUCUCAGAAAAAUCCAAAAAAAAAAAAAAUCAUUAGCUUUGUAUGAUUUUUAGAAUUUUUUAGUGGUAUUUUAUAUAUUUUUUUAUAUUAUUUGAUAGGUUUGCUAAUUUUUCACUCUUUUUUUUUUGUUUUUAGGACAAAAGUCGCAGCUACUGAAAUGAGAGGAAGUUAUGGUCGUUGCUAAUACAUAUAGGUAUGUUUUGGGUUAUAUAAUUCAAACCGUAUUAUUUGUUCGGAUUAUAUAAUUCAAAUGGGGCAAAAUGAUAAUUUUAGAGAGCGCAUGAGAAGUUGGUAGGUGGAAAAAGAAAUUCCCUAAAAAAAAUUGUUUGGGAAAUGUUAUGGUUCUAUAAUUUCGUGCAUACAUAUAUUCUAUAUGCAUGUGUUUUUUUAUACAAUUUGAAAAUGGUGGAUAAGGAUAAAUGACCUCUGUUUAUAUUAUAUACAUAGAUCUAUAUUUUUAUUAUUUUUAAGUAAUAAUCUCCUUUACUUUUUAGAAAAUAUUUGGUGACGCCUCUUAAAGUGUAUAUAUUUUGAGAGAGAUGUGGUAGAUUAAUGAUGUGAUAAAAAAAAAAGAGAUAAAAAGGUUAACCAUAGGUGGACCAUCGACUCGACGAAUUGGCACCACGAAAAACGACAUAUUGUGAUCUUAUCUUAUAAGAAAAAACAUGUUAAAAUGUGUAAUUGUGAUUGCAAAAAGUAAAUUAAAAUUUUGAAGAUAUUUUUUUUAAAAAAAAACAUAUUGUUUUAUCUUUGUAAAAAAAACAAAUUGUCAAACUUUUGCAAGAGAUAUGUAGAAAUAAAAAAUUGUGACGGAAAAUAUUUGUAAAAUCAAAACUUCUUGAAUUUUUUUAGAAAGAUUAAAAAACAAAUUUAGAAUAUUUAUAAGGACAAUAACUUAUUUAAUUAACGAUGGUUAAAACUUAUCCAUUUGAUUUGAUUUGAUUAUAGCCGUGUGGUUCAAGAGGAGACAUGACAGAAUUAGAAAAUUCCUGCAAUUUUCUAAGACUUUUGAUUAAAAUCUAAUUUUAUAUUUAGUCUUCUCUAAAACUAUAAUGUGUCUUUCAUUCUUUUUAGGGAUGUCUCUUUCAUCUAUAUAGUUUGUAACUAUUUGGAUUUUGUUUUAUUAAAAUGAAAUUCUAAAUUAAGUGAUAUUGGAUCGUUAAUUAGUAUUCCCUUCGGUCCUAUAUAUAAGCAACAUUUGACUUUUUUGAUUCAUUCCAUAAAUGAUGUAUUUGAUUCAUAUUCUAUAUCAUAUACAUCAAUUACUCAAUAAAUUUAAAAAGUUAAUUUUUUUUUUAUAAAUAUGACCGGAGUGAGUAAUAUAGAGGAGGAACAACCAUUUUUCUGUUUUCUUUCUGACUUUGCUAUGGCACCAACAAGAAUCCUGAUUGAAGUACUAUGUGUUUGUAUCUAAAUAAGAGAUAUUUUUCCCAAUAAUGUCUUUAUUUAUGACUAACAUAAAUAUAAAGUGGAAGAGGUUGACAAAAAUGUGUUGCAUUAAAAAUUAAAGGAAUCUUUUAUUUUAAAACAAACUUCUAUUUAUUUUAUAAAUAGAUCAAGCCGUUGUAGGAUGGAGGUGGAACUAUAAAGUAAUCAAAUUGUUUUAAAAAUUUGACGACAAAAUGCUCUACAAAUAGUAACCAAUUUACUAAUAUCGGCAUAUGCCAUGCCUUUAUCCUGAUUCCAAUACAAGUUAAAACUGUUGUUGUUUGUGUGCCUCUUUCAAAAAAAAAAAAAAAUAAAUGUUGUUUUCUUGAAUAUUGUGUAUAUGACAAAAAGGGUUUGGCUUGUUUUAUUGGAGAAAUUAAACACAUGCCAAAUAUCUAUUGAAAAAUAGUGUUAAAAAAGGGUUUAUUCCUUCAUAUUUUUAGUAAAGAGCAAGUGAGAGUAGACUUAUUAACUUACUCCUUCAUAUUUUAGGUGGGUAUAAAAUAACAUCUUUUAUAUAUAUAUUCAAAAAGAAAAAUACUCCUUUUCAUUCAUUAGUACAUCAAACAAAACUAUGAAUGCAGCAUCAUUAAAAAAAUAAAAACAAAAGACUUGAAUAAAAAUCAAGUUUUGAUGAGUACGAUAGAAGAUUUGAAUCUAGAAUAGGGGACAAGAUUUGAACCUAGUCCACGAAAAUAAUAACAUUUCUGACACAACCCCGUGAAUGCACAAAUAAAGAAAAGAACAAGAAAGUAAAAACUGAUGAUAUCUCAUCUAAGAGUUACAAGAAAUAUGAAAGAUACUUAGUUUUAUUAAUAUGAUGACAUAUAAUUAUCAAUAGCCAUAGAUUACAAAAUAGAUCUUACAAACACACUGCAUUCAAUUUCACCAUCCAGCACAAGAGAAGAGCCCAUGUAUGUUCCCCUAGAACACACUCUUUAUUAUAGGUAGGUAGGUACCUUUCUUAUGCAACUUGUAUUAAAUUACUUGGUAUGAGCUAACAAUACCAUCUUCUGCUGAAUCUUUGGUGACUUUGGUAGCAAGACUAACAGUAUUAACAAAGUUACAGUGUGUUCUAACUUCACCUUGAGUUCCAGUUAACACUCCAAUAUUACCCAUCUUAAUCAUGGAGGCCUUAAAAGCUUCAAAGAAAAGAGUUUGAUUGCUGCUAAAGCUAUUAACAAUGGCAAUGGUAUCAGCACCAGGUGUGGAAAACAAUUCUUGGUCACUCUGAAACAACCCCUUUUGAAUCCUUAGGUUUGAGUAGUAGCUUGUGACAUCUUGUUCCACCAUUGGGACACCAUUGGGACAUCUUGUUCUCAAUGUUUGUAAGUAGGUUGUGUUGAGAGUUGGGUCAGGAUUUUUAGUAUUGUUCAAAUCGUAUAAUCGAUCAACGAAGAAUCCACAUUGACCUCUACCAAUUGUAUGAGCACCUAAUUUUUUUUUAAAAAACAUUAUGUUAUGAUUCUAAAUAGCAUAUGAGAAAAUACACUUGGCAAAAUGUAAUUGGUUUGGAUAAAUAGACAUGUGUCUAGUUAUUGUGCAUAAAUAGGGAAAAAAUGAUUAAUAUUAUUUCCACUUUAAUUUUCUCUUUUUCAAUUCUUUUUACUUAGAAAAGACACACAUGCAUAUAUGUAAAAAUAUAUGUACACUAAUGUUGCGUACACCUAUAGCUUUUUAGGAGACAAAACUUUUAUACCUGAAAGUGCAACAAGAUCAGUAAUGUUGAGACCUUGUUUAGAAAAGGAGAAUAUUAGCUGAGUAAGAUUCAAUUGGGGACGAGGAAGGUUUAAAUUAGCAAGAGUUUGAUUUGCAUUCAAACUAUCUCUUCUUCCUAAUGGAACUUCCCAAUCAGGACCAUGAGCCUGCAAAUUAUGUAACCAAGAAAAAUUAGAAUCACAAGCAAAAAAAUAAAUAAGAAAAGGAAAAAAAUAAUACAAGUAGUAGUAAUAAUAAUAAGUCGUGAGAAAAAAAAAAGUUUAUUAAAAGGAAUUAAAGAAAGGCAUUUUUUAGAGGUACUUGUCAAAUAUUCCUUUUAGUCUUUAUAUUAAGACUAAAAUCAACAAUAGGAAGAAAUUUUGUAGGAUUAAAAAAAAACAGAACUAAAAAUAAAAAGUAGUAUAUUUGCCAAAACUUAAACCAUAACAAAAAAAAAUGAAGGUUGAAACUUAAAAUAAUAUAUUUUAAUUGAUUGGUCUUUUUAUAUUUAGGUUGAAACUUUCAAGUUACUUACAGAUGGAAUCCCAGACAUUUUUUUAGUACUAUGAAGAAACCUAGCAUCAAAGAUGGCCGGCUAAGAGGCUUUCAAUACUAAUGACUUGUAUAACAAAUUUAUCAACUCAUUUAAAAAAAAUUCUGUCACAUAUAUUAAAAUUUGUUUUAAGUCUCAGUUAGAAUCUGUGGAACAUACCAGAACUGAGGAAAUGUUAGCACCAAGUGCAAGAAUAUCAGCACAAGACACAACACUAGGACAAAAUCACAGCCCUUAUUGAGUUUUUUAUUUGGCCUAGCUCCUUGCUCGCUCACGAUAGUAUUACUAUUAGUGGGUUUUUUCUAGAUUACCUUUGAAGAAUGGUAGGUAAUUUACCCACCAACCAAUGAAAAUGAGCAAUUUGUUGGUGGGGUCAAGAUAGUUCAUGGAUACCACUUAAAAAUGUGCUUAUAUGACUAAUGUGUAUUGGUUGGGGUAAAUUACCCACCAUUCUUCCAUGGGUACCCUAGUUGUCACCCUAUUAAUGUCAUUCAACAAGAUUGAUGCAUCACAGCCCUUACAUGUAUAGAUAUAACAUUUUAGAGUAUUAGAAAAUUGGUAAAUAUAUUACUCUUCAUAUUGGUGAGAUCAAGAUGAGUUCACUAUAAAACAUUUAAUUAACUUGAUGCAUAUGGUGAGUUUGACAAAAUCACGUAGUAACAUUUUAGUUUGAUACUUUAAACUUUCAACAAAAUCACACUGUUUCGUGAUUCUAUCAAACUCGUUGUGGCUUCAACAAAAUCACAUCGCAAUUAUACUAAAUACUAUAAUACAUACUUGAACAAAAGCAACAAAUGAAUAACUUCUCUCAUGUUUCUCCGCUAAUCAUGGGAGAACGAAAAUUAUGUGGGACCCACGCCAAUCUUGUUCCUCUUCUCUCUUUCUCACCUUUGCCAAACAAGAUAAAUGCCACACUUCUCUCCUCUUUCUCUCGUUGAUGUCUCUCUCUUCUACAUUUCUCUUGUACCAAGCAGAGGAUUAGGGAUAAAGAUUUAUAUUUUAGAGAAUUUAUAUUUAUGGACAUAGGUAGUAGCUAAUGGGGAAUAAAUAUUCUAAAUUGCACAUUAAUACUAGAUGGAUUAAAUAAUAUACCAUAUAGAGAGAUGAGCGAGAGAGUUAGAGAGAAAAAAAGAGGUGGCGGUUCAAAGCCAAGCCUUGGACCACCAUGUCGGUUUGCUUCGCCGGCUGAUAGGUUCUAUGGGAGGGGGGCAUAUACUGGGGAUGGAGAAAUUGGGGGGGGGGGAAUUGGGGAGAGUGGGCCAAGGUGAGAAACACACGGAUGAAAGCGAUGGAACCGGAGUUUUAGAGACAUUACAGACAACAUGAAAGCAGCAUGCAUGUAGGAUUUGGCAAGGACAAGGGUUAUGCUUUUGGAAAGUAGAUGAAAGGAAGGUCUUUUGAUCGAUUUGACAGGUUUGAUACGGAUUGGGAUUUGAGACCUAGGGUUUUUUAUGAUCACAUGAGAAGAAGGUUUGUUUCUCAGAGAAGGGUAAGGUCAACCACCCGCUGCGGUGAACAUUCUAGAUUAUGGGCGGAGGUGGAAUAACCCUACAACGCAGUGUUGGCCUGCUCUUUCAUGGCAUCAGCGUGCAACCCUUAGAGAAUGAGAGGAUAAUUGUUGAUGGUCGUACAUGUAUGUGUAAGUCCUCUCACCACAUUGUGAAUGAAGGCUCUAAUCAGUUAAAUGAUGUAUUCUAUAUUACUAAUUUUCCGGAGGACUUUGAGUUAAUUGAUUUGAGGAAGGGACUAGAAGUUUGUUGGAUUUUAUCUGAUAUUUUUGUUUCAAUAGAACGUAAUAUUAGAGGGCAAAUUUAUGGUUUUGUUUUUAAUGUGAUUAUCCUUUUGUAAAGUCAAUUUGAGCCUGUAGAUUUAUAACUUUUUGUUCGGUGACAAGUUACAUUACAAGUCUAGAGACCUUAAAUUGUUUACCUAAAUAAUAAUUAGAGUUAGGUUGUAGGGUGUUACUAAAGUUUAAGUUCGGGGUUGAUUUUGAAAUUUGCAACCAAUUAAGUUUGAGGGUGGGGAUACUAAAGAACUUAAGAGAAUAAAAUAUCUAUUCGAAAAUGAAUUGAUAAAGUGCAACAAAAGGUAUAGCAAAAUCAGAUAAUAAUAAUAAUAAUAAUAAUAAUAAUAUUAGAGACAAGAAAAAUGAAGAAAACAAUAAUAAUAUUGUCUCAUGGUCACAAUAGUUCUCUAGUACUUGAGUUUAUUUUAUGGGGUGAAUAAGGUAAAUGUACAAUGCGUAACUCCAUUGUUUGUUUUAACCUACUUUUUCAAAAAUUAUCCCGCAUUCACCUGAGCCUUGUUUCAACUUUUAAAGACCUUGACAGGGUGUUGACAUUGACUUUGAUAGUCGUUUUAUUUUUUUUCAAGUUUAUAGUAAUAUGUAGACCUGCAUGUCGACGGUGGAAAACACCUGUCAAAAUGUUGUGUGAAGUUGUGAAUUGUGGUUGUAGUCAAGCCAGUUGGCCCAUCAAAUGGCUAGCAAUGAGAUGAACUUUUUGUAUUAUCACUUGAUUAGAUAAUUGUUAUUUUUACUGUAGUUUGUCAAUUUUACAAGUAAAUUCCUUGAGGACAAAGAAUGAUUUGACAUGUUGUCAUUACAUAUUUUUUUUCCUAUUUAUUUUGAUGUUUUUAUUGAGUCUGUAACAAUUUUAGACAGCCUGAAGGUGCAAAAAGCAAAAAAUAUCAAGAAGUUGAAAUUAAAGCAUCGUGUUGGGAUUUUGCAACCGUGACACAAUUUUUCAACCAGAAAUUAAAGUUGUCACUGCCAGAAUAAUCGUGUCACGAUUACAUAAUCGUGACAUGGUUUGGAGGUGUGCCAGAAUACAAAUUUGAAUUUAAGGAAGCAAUCGUGUCACGAUUUUGGUCAUCAUCACACGAUUUUGAGCGCCCAAGACCUUGCCUAUAUAAGCUAACCUUGUUUUUGGGGAGGGGGUUCUGAAUUUUGGAGAUUUGAAGCAUGCUUUUGAGAGCACAAGACUGAAGAGGUGGCCAUUCCACCAAACUCAUAGUCAAUCCAUUGUAUGUUAGAAUGCUUCAAUUGAUUUUUUUUAUUUGUAAUCUUCAUUAUGAGUAAUUAAAUCAUUAGAGGUUAGGUCCGGAGAUGAUUCUGAUGUAGAUCUGUUUGAACCAUGUAGGUUGUGAAACACUAUUUUAUAUAAAUGUCAAUCUAAUUUUUAUUUAAUUCAAUUUGUUUCUAAUGCUUUUUAUUUUAUGUAUUGAUCACAUGUAAAAUGAAACCAAAGUAUGAAUGACUACUGACAUUAACUUUCAACUUAUACCUAAUUGAAUUGUUUAAUUAAACAUGGUUAGUCUAGGAAUGGAUAACCGUUUAAUUGUGAGAAUAUAUUAACAUUCUAAAAACCUUCGAACAAUAUGAGAGCACCUAAGAAAUUGGGGGAUGUAAUCUAAGAAGAGAACUCUGACUCAAGGGAUUGAUUAGAGUAAGUUUUGUUAAUCCUCGUAAAACUAUAGAAACAUUUGUACUCCCUCCGUUUCAAAAUGAAUGUCGUUUAAGGUUCUUACACACAUAUUAAUAAAUGCAUUAAUCAAAAGAAAGAGAGAUGUUAUUUUACCAAGUUAUCCUAAUCAACUAUUGGGUUGUUUUUCAUUAAAGAAAAAAUAAUAGCCUUAAUUGCACUUUUGACCCCCUAUCUUUUCAAAAGUUGCGAUUUUGGCCCCCUAACUAAUUAAAAUACAAAACAGCCCCCUAUGUAUUUGAUCUUUGGNNNNNNNNNNNNNNNNNNNNNNNNNNNNNNNNNNNNNNNNNNNNNNNNNNNNNNNNNNNNNNNNNNNNNNNNNNNNNNNNNNNNNNNNNNNNNNNNNNNNUUUAAUUAGUUAGGGGCCAAAAGUGCAAUUAAGCCUAAAAUACUUUGGAAGUAGUGUAUAUAGGAUUAAUUGAAUGAUACAAUUGAAAAAAAUAAGUUAUUGUUGCAUUGAAAACUGAAAGUGACAUUCAUUUUGAAAUAAUUUUUUUGCUAAAAUGACACUCAUUUUAAAACGGAAGGAGUAUUAUUUAGUUGCAGUCUACCAAUUGAUCGUAGUCAGAUGAUUUAAUAGACCUAAUCUCAUUUCUCCUAUUAUUUUCACAACACUUUUACAAGUUUUCUUAUUAUUUUAUGCAAAUCAAACAACCGCAUAGGACAACCCCAAAAUUUUACACAUAUAAGAUAAUAACCUUAUUGUUAAAUUGAAAUUAAUAUAGUCUUUGUGGGUACGAACUUAGAAUUAUUAUUUCGCUAGUUUUAAUACACUUGCUAAAAUUCUACUAGUAACUUAAAAAAACUAAUAAUAUAAGACAAAUAAUGUUGCAUUAAAAAUUAAAAGAAUCUUUUAUUUUAAAACUUAUUUCUUUGUAUAAAAAUAUAUCAAACCGUUGUACGUGGUAGGAUGGAGGUGGAACUAUAAAUUAAUCAACCAGGUGUGCUAUAUUGAAGUUUUAAAAAUUUGACUGACAAUAGUCUAUAAAACAAAACUAAUUUUCAGAAAUGUUGCUAGUAAGUGUUUUAAGGCACUUGUUAAGGAUUUAAAAAAGAAAAUAAUUUAUUUAUUUGAAAAAAUAAAAAAUUAUAAAUUUUAAGUAGAUUUUUUUUUAAAAAUUAUUGAAUACAUAAUUCUGAUAACGUUUUUUCUUUCAACAUCUUAACAUUUCUCUCUAACUACAAUCGAUAUAUGCCAUUAUCCUAAUUCCAAGACAAGUUAAAACUUUUUUUAAAGAAAGAAAGAUUAUUAUUUUUUUGACAAAAACAAAACAAUAUUCAUUUAUUUUAAUUGAUAGAGUACAUCGUUUAACAUCGUAAAAAAAGUAAAGGAUAAAUAUGUGAGCAAACUCAUAUCAUCCAAGUUAAUAGCAUACAGCUGUAAAAUACCGAUAAAUAAUAUGAUAAAAUUUAAAUGACGAAACACCCAUACCUCUAGAUCUACAACGUUGACGUCCAAAUAAUUGAAUAGUUGAUCUUUCAAUAACAAUCAGAUGAACACCACAACAAGACGAGAAAUCAAACAAUACUGCACAAGACGACGUAUAACAUUGCGUCACUCAUAGACAAUGAAAUCACGAAGAAAAAACCUAAAUCUACUAAAAAAAGUAGUUUAUUUAGAUUGAAAUAGAGAUGAAAAAAAAAAGAUGAAGAUGUGUAACCACACCUCAAUGAAGAAAAUAUAAGAGAUUAAGAUCUUUUAUUUUGUCUUAAUUGAAACCCGUGACUCUUCUUUUAUACAUUUUUUAUCACAACCCCAUGACUCUUAAAUAAGUUUUUUUUUUUUUUUUUUUAGGGAUAUUGCAUGUUAUAUGCAGGGGUCGGGGGUCGAACCCCAGACAUCCCACUUCUCCACAAUUAAAUUGUGUGAGCUCUAGCCAUUAGGCUACUUGACCCAAAAAAAAAUUACAAGUUUUUUUGUCAGGUAGCCUAGUGGCUAGAAUUCAUCUUAUAAGGUGAAUAAGUAGGGUGUCUGGAAUUUGAACCCCGGCUCCUGCAUAUAAUAAUGCAUUGGUCUACGAAUUGAGCUAUGCUCACGGGACAUUGCAAUUACAAGUUACUUCUAAGAUAAGACGCUUUUUAGUAUACACAAUUUUAUUAUUAUGCAUGUCGACAUAUCGGUGUGAGGUGUCCAUAUGAUGUCUAUGUUCAUCGUUCAUAGAUAUAAGCAAAUGUUACCUAUUUCUUUUUUAUUUAACCAUAGUAUAUAUCUCUAAAAUAUCCUUAAUCUAAUUACAGAAAUUGCAUAAACUGAAAGUGAUCAAACCUUUUUUUUACAUACACAAUUUUAUUAAUAUGACAUAAUUAUCAUAAUAGAGCGAAAUAGAACUUACAAACACACUGCAUUCAGUAGCCAUAGAUUACAAAAUAAAAUACAAAACAUAUCACAAUCCACAAAAGAGCACAUGUAUAUAUGUGCCCCUAGAAAACACUCUUUAUUGGGUAGAUACCUUUCUUAUGCAACUUGUCUUAAAUUACUUAGAAUGAGCUAACAAUACCAUCUUCUGAUGAAUCUUUGGUGACUUUGGUAGCAAGACUAACAGUAUUAACAAAGUUACAGUGUGUUCUAACUUCACCUUGAGUUCCAGUUAACACUCCAAUAUUACCCAUCUUAAUCAUGGAGGCCUUAAAAGCUUCAAAGAAAAGAGUUUGAUUGCUGCUAAAGCUAUUAACAAUGGCAAUGGUAUCAGCACCAGGUGUGGAAAAAAGCUCUUGAUCACUCUGAAACAAACCAUUUCCAGCUUGAAGAUUGGAGUAGUAGUUUGAGUCGAAUGUAUCGGGAGUGCUUACAUCCAAAUUGGUGAGGUUGGUACCUAGAACGCCAAUAUCUGGGCAUAUUGCUUGCAAUGAUUGUAGUAAGGUUGUGUUUAGAGUUGGAUCAGGAACUCCGGUGUUAUUGAAAUUGUACAUUCGAUCAUUGAAUAAAAGGCAUACACCUCUUCCAAUCGUAUGAGCACCUAAAAAAUGAUCAAAGCAUAUACAAUUAGACACCAAGUAUCGAGUUUAAAUCUCCUCCGAAACGGUUGUAAAAUGUACACAUGUUAUGUGUAGAGAUAUAGAUUUUAAGGAGACAAACAUUUAUACCUGAAAGUGCAACAAGAUCAGUAGUGUCGAGACCUUGAUUAAGAAAGGAGGUUUUUAAUUCAUCAAGAAGAAAUCGGGGACCAGGAAGGCUUGAAUUAGCAAGACUUUGAUUUGCAUUGAAACUAUCUCUUCUUCCUAAUGGAACUUCCCAAUCAGGACCAAGAGCCUGCGAGGAAAAAUGUGACACAAGUAAAAAAUUAUGGUCUCACACUAGUAGGAUUAAAAAAUAAUAAUAACCAGAAAUAAAAAGCAGUAUAUUUGCCAGAACUAAAAUCAUAACAAUAAAAAAUGAAGGUUGAUACUUAAAAUAAUAUAUUUUUAUUGAUUGAUCUUUUUAUAUUUAGUUUGAAACUUUCAAGUUAUUUACAGAUGAAAUCCCAAACAUUUUUUAGUACUAUGAAGAAACCUAGCAUCAAAGAUGGCCGGCUAAGAGACUUUCAUUACUAAUGACUUGUAUAACAAAUUCAUCAACUCAUUUUACAUUUUUUUUUUCUCUCUCCUUGAGUAGUUGACAAAAAAUAUCAUAUACAUGAAAACUUGUUUUAUGUCUCAAUUACUAUUAAAAAUUACUGGGUCGUCUUGUGAACGAGAUAGAGAAAAUGUCAAUAAUAUAUAGAGGAUGUGAAACGUACCAGAACGGAGGAAACAUUAGCACCAAGUGCAAGAAUAUCUGCACAAGACACAACACUAGGACAAGCAAGUUCGAUUGCGGCUUUGAUUUGAUUCACAAUAUCCAAACCUCUUAUUGAGUUUCUAUUUGGCAAAGCUCCUUGCUCACUCACGAUAGUAUCAGAGUCAUUCAACAAGAGUGAUGCAUCACAACCCUUUCAUAAACAUAGAUAUCAAAUAUAUGAGUUACAAAUAUCCAAAACUUAGUUAGAUGUUGGUGAGAAAUUUACAGUUAGUUUGAUAGAAUCACGUCGUAGCAUUGACACUUUAAACUUUCAACAAAAUCACAUGUUCUUUGUGAUUCUAUCAAACUCGUUGUGGCUUCAACAAUAUCACAUCGCAAUUAUUAUAUAUUAUAUAUAAUAUAAUACAUACUUGAACAAAACAAUCAUGAAAAUGAAGCCUAAUGAAACUGGCAAGGAUACGAGGAUCUGUCUGAGAAACGUUUGCUAAGAUACUUUGGACAAUGGAAGUGACAUUUGGACAUGUGUCCUUAUAGAAGUUAGGAUCAAGUUGUGCAUUUGAAGAGAAGGGAAACCCUCCAAGCACAACCACUACACAGCACAAAGCUGCUAAUGUGAGAUGAAAAGAAGAGUUCAUUAUUAUUUCUAUUGUUUUUUGAACUCUUGAAAUUUAAUUGUGUCUACCACAUAUGGGGUUCAUGUCUAUUUAUAUAGAGAGAAAUGGCUUGUGGAGGCAAUGUUCCUGCAUUUCAUUUCGUGUUUUGGUCGUUCAAAUUAUUAAUAUUCAAAUCUUCAUCUAAUCAUGUUGCUCUAACUAAAGACUAUAGAGAAAAAAAAUAGUUCUAAUCGCUGUCCAUCGUAAGCAGGUACAUAUUGACAAGAAAUAUUUACGUCAUUGAAAAUUUAAAAUAUGACGACAUUUUCUCAUUUAGGGAUAAAGAUUUAUGUUUCAGAGAAUUUAUAUUUAUGGAAAUAGGUAGUAGCUAAUGGGGGAAAAUUAAUCUAAAUUGCUCACUAAAACUAGAUAAGUCUUGAAAAUAAUGUAUAAAAAGUGUCACAUCUGAUUUCGUAAGAUGGUUUUUUAAUUCCCUAAAAAAAUGGUUUUUUAAUGAUAAAUCAGAUAUAACUAAUUUUUUUUUUUGACAAAAAAAUCAGAUAUAACUAAUAUAAACAAUUUUAAGGUUUAAAUAUGUUAUUAGUCUAUGCACUACCAUAAUUUUUGGGUAUUGAUCCACCACUUUUUUUUUUUUUUUUUAGGUCCAUGCAUUUGUAAAAAGAUUAUUAUUGGUCCCUCUGUCGAUCAACGGUUAAAAACAAAAAUAAAUUAAGUGUCACGUGGUCCAAUUAUUACACAUCAUGUGACGUAUUACAAGCUAAAAUUUUGAAAUUAAAAGAAUUCAAAUGAAAUAAUUGUUUUUUAAUUAGUAUCUUUCAAUCAGAUGACCUAUAAACAAUCUAGCCAAAUAGUAUAUAAAUAAUAACAAAUUUUCUUAAAAAACCGUUCUAGCAUGCCAAAAUACAACAUAUGUGCGGAUAAAUGGGAAGGAUUUACUGAUUGAAUAUCAAGUCAUUGCUUAACCAAUAUUCAAAUGCUCCAAAACACGUCACAUUCCAAAAAUAAAUAUGAUAUACAAUAUUUUCUUGAAGACCACAUCCAGUAACACACAUUGAAUAAUUCAUCGUCGAACUAAAUUAUCUUUUGUAGCUAACCUAUUAUUUAGUAAAUGUCAAGCAAAAAGUAGAAACUUUUAAUGGUAAAUAAUAUUCUAAAAUCCAUUAUGAUGGGAUGGUUCCUCCUCAAUUAGUAGAUGAUAAAUGUCUCUGACGGUAUAGCUUUUGUUAGGCGUAAGUUGCCAUUUUCACCUCCCUACCAUCCCAACCUGUAAAAUAAUGUUAGAUAGAAGCUCACUACACUCCCUCCAACAUCUCCUCCUCCCAAGCAAACAAUUGCCGCCAUCUCCCCCAAUCCACCAGUCUAAAGCAUACACCUCUGCAACUAUUACCAACCGAUUCCCUUUUAAUUCAUAAAGACGCUGAAGCCUAUCAUAGAAAUCCCCCCUCGAUCCACUUAUCUGAUCAGAAAAAAGUUGUAAUCUCAUCACCCAAAAUUCGCACCAAAUUAUCAUCAGACCAUAUAUCCAGUUCCAUACUUACCCCUACGAGUUCCCAUCUUUAAACUUAUAUAAAAAUUUGUAGACAUUUUUAUCGACAAAAGAAACUUCGAGAUGUUACUUAUAAAUAAAAUUUCAAUCUAAAAAUGAGUUCUAUAAUAGGAAUAUCCACAUUAAGAAUUUAAAAUACUGUUUUACUUUUUUUUUUGACACAAAAUAUUGUUUUACUUGCAACUAUAUAAAUUAGACUCUUAAAAUGGUACAUACUUUUCUAGAGUUUAACGAGAUAUAUCAUGGUUACAAAAUAGUUUUACACCUCCAUCCAAUAACAACCCAUAUAUUGUCAUUUAAGUUUAUAGUAUUAUAUAACGGCUUUGUAAAAGCCAAAUACUCGAUUGUUAUUAAACACCAACGUAAAACUAGUAUAACUAACAACAUAUGUCCAAUUUUCACUUGUUUUGAAAUAUAAUUUUUAUUUAACUAUUUCACAUAAAUUAAAAAGUUAGAUAAUAUUCAUUAAAAUAAUUCAACUCUAAAAUAUUUUUUUAAAUAUAAAGUAUUUUUCUAAAUAAUACUGUAACAGCAAGAAAAUAGGAAAUUAAGAGAGAUAUUUUUAUAAAAAGAAUAAUUAAUACAUUGAGUAAAUUAAUAAAGACUUCUAUGUUUUAGCUUAAUAAAAUAAGACUUUUUUUUAGGGGAGCUUAAUAAAAUAAGAUUUAUAUAUUUAUUUUUUAAUGACAAAAAAUGACUUGUAUUUAGGACCCGCCUGCUCAAUGUACCAAACAACAUUUAUUAAUUUUUUUUGACAAAACCACAUUUAUUUAUUUUUUUUAAGGACAGAACAACAUUUAUUAAUUAUUCCUUUCUCCCUCAAAAAAAAUUAUUCCUUUAAAAAACAUUUAUGAAUUAUUUAUUAUAAUUAUUUUGGUACAAACUACGGUCACAUUUUAAAAUAAAAGUUGUCCCUAUGUGCAUACAUGCUUUUGUCAACAAGUUCUGCACCCUUUUUUAAGACUCUUUACAGAUAAAGACUUUUGAACCAAGUGUUUAAAAUGAUAUGAUUAAUCAGUUUCAUUAAAUGAUGAAUUGUUCGGUAGAAUCUUAGAUUAACAUGAGUUAAACAAUUUUUGAGCGCUUUUACUUACUUUUCAAUUAAUUUUUGGAUUACCAAAGGUCAUUCUCUUAAGAAUCAAAGAUUACACAUAAAAUAAAUAAAUAAAGACUUCGAGGUUUACCCAUUCGAGUUAUAUGUUUUUAAAGUCACUAACAUCACCAUAUGUUGAUCCAUGUUCGUCUUAUGUAGGGAUAUAGUUAUUGAUAAAUUUUGCAGUUAAAAUAAUAGGUAAAAUAUCUUAUAUUUAGGAACACAUCAGAAAUACCCAAGGAAAAAUACUUUCUUGGUGGUGCCAUAUCAAUGACCCAAAGUAAGAUCAAAUAGGUGAUGGUGUAUAGAGAACGGAAAACUAUUUUUGUACAUUCAUUACCCAUUCUAUAUAUGAGAGUGAUGUGCGUUGGAUAGAUAUGAGAUAAGAAUAUGAUAUGAUAGAAAGAAAAAAAAAAAUAUAGAGAAAAUGUUGUAUUGAAUGGGUGUAAAAAAAUAAAAGGUCUAGAGAAAAAAGAGAGGGAGUAUUAAACAACACAGAGAGAAAAAAAAAAAGCACUUGGAAACUACUCACCAAAGGGGAGUUCGGGAAAAGUAGAAAGUUUGACUGAUCCGUAUCCAUUAUACAUGUUAAAAUACUCACCUUCAAACAUGAAAUUUAAGAAUCAUAAGAUAUUUAAGGUUUAAAUAUAUCCAAUGACUUUUGAAUAACAUAGAACGGAAAAAAAAAUUAAAGACAUAAAAAUGGAAUAUAUUAACAACGGUAGGGAAACACCUAAGUAUAAGAUGUACUAAAAGUGUCACCCCUAAUAAUAGUCAGACAUGCAAAGUAAAGUCAAAGCAAAGGUCAAUCGAUACUCAGACAUAAUAAAGGGUCCGACCACCAUCUUUGAGUACCGAACAUAAAAUUGACUUUGUUAGCUUUAAGCCACCAUAAAGAGUGAAAUUUUACUUUAUCUGCUAGUUGUUCAACGGUGGUUUGGAUGUUAUUAUAAAGCAUAUUAUUACGUUCAUUCCAAACCAACCAAAUAAAAAGUAACCAAAUAAGUUGGAGAAAUUAUUGACGAGCCUUUGAGUGACCUGUAGAGUGAGUAAACUGAAUGAAAUGGUCAUCAAUAUUAAGGAGGUCGACACCUGACAUUCUGAUCCAAGACCUGAUAAGAUGCCACAAUGAACCAAAAGUGGCGCAGUGAAUAAAUAAAUGAGACGCAAUCUCUGCCAUACCGCACCCUGUAACACACAUAACUGCCUCGCCAUUGAUUAUGCCACGCCUUAGAAGAUGGUUCUUAGUCGGCAACCUAUCUCGCAACAAUCGCCAAGUAAAAAUGGAAACCUUCAGCGGCACCUGCUUAUGCCAGAUAAGAUCUCCUAUAGUAACAUCUGGAGGUUCAGCCUGAGUAGUAAGGUGAUGAUAGACGCCUCCCACACUGUAACCACCAGCAGAAUCAGAGUCCCAUUGCCACCUGUCAGAAAUAUUAUGCUGCAAAACGACACCAUUAAUUAAUUGCCUACACUCCUCUAGCAUCUCCUCCUCCCACACCCUCAACAUUCGCCUCCAACCCCACGCCUCUCCGUCAACCUCCCCACCAAUAGCAACCAUAUCAGCCACCGUACUCAGUUUAUUAGACGCUAAGUCAAAUAAACAACGGAACCUGGUACAAAAAGGAGUAUCACCAAGCCACCUAUCAUGCAAAAAGAAAGUACUAGUGCCAUCCCCUACCUUUUUCGAUACCCUCUGUGCAAACCAACCACCCUCUACAUCGCCUACCCCAUCCCUAAUCUUAGCUACUUCCCGCCACCAAGAUGAAACACUCCGGCCCCCAACCUCCAACCGCCCAACUGUCUCACCAUACCGCGCUACCAGAACCCUAUACCAUAACCCGCCUCUAUCCACCAUCAUUCGCCAACACCAUUUGCCUAACAAAGCGCUAUUAAAUUCCUGCAACCUCCUUACCCCCAACCCUCCAUACUCCCUACACAAACAAACAGAGCUCCAAGCAAUCUAGGAAAUUUUCCUGUUAUCCUCACUCCCUCCCCAAAAAAAAUGUAUUAAACAUAGAUUCAAUGAUAGAGAUUAUACCUGACGGAGCCUUGAAGAAUGAAAGAGCAUAAACAAAUAACACGGUCAGGACAGACUUCAGAAGGACCAACCGACCUCCAUAUGAAAGAAAACGGCUUUGCCACCUCCAUAGAACGAAAAUUUGAAAUAAAGAAAAUGCAAACAUAUGAAUUCAUGAUGAAAUUGUGAGUAAUAAAAUAGUGGUAUUGGUUGAGAAAGUGUAAACAUAAUCACAAACAACGAGUCAAAAUUUCUAAUCGAAAUUGCAAUGAGGAAUUUAAAAUUGAAACUCUAGUUACGAAUAAGAUUAGAGUUAAGGAUUAGAGUUCUUUUGUAAAUUGCAAACAAAACCUUACUUUCUUUUUAUCUUGUAUGGAUUCGAGUUAAAAAUUAUUGCAGUUAAAUCUAUAAACUUAAGUGUUUAAGACUCAAUAUAUUGAGUCAAAAAAAGGUCAUUGUAUAACCUCAUAUAAAAUUUACAAAAAAAAUAUAGACACAAAAAAAAAAUAUAAAAAAAAUACUAAUAUGAAGAGAGAAAAAAACUUGAACGAUUUUGGUCUAUGUUGAUCCCCUUCUAACUCCGUAUUACUAAUUAAUGAUUAAGGUCCAUUUGGUUUAAGAUUUACAAUUAAAUAAAAAUAUCCAAAUAGUUACAAACUAUGAAGAUGAAAGAGACAUCUUACGAAAAUGAAAGAGACAUUAUAGUUUUAGAGAAGACUAAAAUGUGAAAUUAAGGAGUAUAUUUUAAUCAAAAGUCUCACCUUUGUUUUUUUGGCUCAAAAAGACGGUUAAGACACACUUAAUGGAAAUCACUCGAUGCCAAGAUCACUCAUCUACUUAAAAGUUCAAACUUUAGCAAAAAAACAAACUUAAACUUUUGAACAGAAAAAACAAAUUACAAUACCAAAGGCCAUGGCCACAUAACUCUAUAAGUUAAGGUUCACUACAUGUUAAUUCUCGCAAAAACAAAAAACACACAAUUUAAAAUUAAUUUUAGAGAGAAAAAUGAUCUAUGUAGUGGUUGUUCUUGGAGGGUUACCUUUGUUCUCAAAUGCACAAUUAGAUCAAUACUUUUACCGUGAAACUUGUCCCCAAUUGCAUUUUAUUGUACACAAAGUUGUAUGAAAAGCUUCAUUAAGAGAUACUCGUAUUUUUGCUAGUCUUGUUAGGCUUCACUUUCAUGAUUGUUUUGUUCAAGUAAGUCCUUCAAACUAAUUUUCAGUUUUGUUUUCUAAUUACAUGGUUAAAUUUGUAAGAUAUAUAAAAGACAUGCUUUUAUCUAAUCAUGGUUUUGAACAUUUUCACAUGGAAAAUCGUGGUUAAAUUGAUUUACUCUAUAAACUAUCGCAUAAAUUAUUUUGAAAAGUUUACUGAAAUAAACUAAAAUAUAUGUUGAUAAACUAUUUUUACAAAUAUUUGCUCUUUUAUUUUUAUUUUUAUUUUUGUUAAUGACAAAUGUUAGUAUAUUAAUUAUUAUGUUGGUAUUUUUUUUUUCUCAUGUCAUGAUUCAAACUCAUAAUUUUUAACUAAUUAACUCUUUCAAAAUGUUAGUUCAACCAAGUGAGUUAUCCAUCCUCAUUUCCCAUAAAUAUUUAUACUCUAAGAUAUGUCCGAAUAAAAAAUCGAUAAAUUAUUCCAAAAGGACCAAAAGCAUCCAUAUAGUACUAAUGUACUUUUGCUGCAUAUUGUAACAAAAUAAAUAAAUUGCAAAUUUAUUUUUAAAAGAUUAAUUUUUAUGCACCGGUGGUGUAAUUUAGACAACAUCUAAAAAUAAAUCAAAUACUCUAUAUACACCAAAGUAAAAUAAAAUAGCGUAAAAGUAGAGAACAAUAACACAUGCGAAGUAGAUUGAUUUUUUUUUUUUGACAAAGUAGAUUGAAAUUUUAGCACCCCAAAACAUCAUAUGUCAAAUGCAGCUAUUGAUAAAAAGAACAACCUAACAAAAAAGUUGAUGCGUCUCACAUCGGUUUUUUUCCGUAUUGUUCUCACAUCGGUUUCAUAAUGAUGAGUGUGUUUCACAUGAUCUUGAAUUAUCAAAUUCAAUUCUACAAUCCUUUCAAUCAAUACAAGAAAAUUGACAUUACUAUAUUGAUAUGAUUUAUUUUUUUGAAAUCUUUGAAAAACAAGAUUAAGAUUAAUUUCUCUAGUAUGCCCAUUUUCAACUAAAAUAGAAUUUGUUUUGCUUUGAAAAUCAUCUCAAUUUCUUGCAUAAUAAAUAUCAUCGAUAUUUUUAAUAUUAAUGAGGCACAUUAUUAGGAACAAAAGGCCCAAAAAAAUAUCACUAAUUUCUUCGAUAAUAAAUUUUUUAGCAUAUUAUUAAGAACAACAAAAAAAAAUAGAGGAGAGUGUAUAUAGAAAUAUUUAUGCUACAUGUGGUAUAUAUAGAAAAUCUCGUUAAAAGGGCCAAAAACAAUAACAGAUUUCAGCCUAGUCUUUUAUCAUGUCAAAGUUUGGGCCUUUCAGAGAAUUUUGCUAUAUAUACCCCCAAAAUCCAAAUAUUUCUAUAUACACCCCACCUUUAAAAAAAUUGGGCCCCCUACCGGCAUGGCCCUUGGUCGUCGUACUCCCCGCCUAUGCCCUAGGGCUGGCCUUGACACCCAUUAGAACAACCCCCACCAAAACCAACUUCACCGCCUAAAUCAAACUCCAUCGCGAAACGCCACUAAAAACAAAAUCCAUAAACCACCUUCACCCGCUUAUCAAGUAAUAUAGUUGCUAGUUGCUACACAGUUUAAAUAUGAAAAAAAAAAAAAAAGUUUAAAUCUUGUCCUCCGUAAAUAAUGUCCUUAUUAGCCUUUUUUUAAUAGCAAUGACCUUAUUAACUAUCAAUUAAGUUACACUUAGGAAACCUAUAAAAUUUAUUAACCAUGCUUUAAGAUUACAGUUAGAUGCAUAAGGGAUCAUUUCGUUAGUCAAAUUUGUACAGCCUUUAUCAUAAGUCUAUGAGUAAAGUUUCAAAAUAUAUAUCAUAUACAUGUGAUGCAUCGGUUUUGCUGAACAACACAGCAACAAUCGUAAGCGAACAACAAGCUUUUCCAAAUAUCAACUCCAUAAGAGGUUUGGAUGUUGUGAUUCUUGUGAACAAAAUCAAGACAAACUUUGGCUAAUCAAAACCUUCCAACACUACUGAUCUAGUUGUACUCUCUAGUAUAAUGUAUGUGUUUGUGUUGCAAUUAUUUAUGCAAAAUAGAAAUUAAUGAAUCAAAAUAUAAUUUUGGAAUUAAAUCAUGUACAAUUUAGCAUCUUAAUUAACUCCAAAAAAAUUAGCAUCUUCGUUAAUCUUGGCUGACUUAAAAAUAUUUUUUUCUUAUUUGGUUGGAUUCAGAAUUUUAGUAUAUUACUUGUUGAUUAUGUUAAGGAUUUAAGUUUCAUAUCAAUCACAACCGUUAAGUUAUUAAAAACAUGGCUUAAAAUAUUGCAACCCUUAUCUCAAAAUCAGUUAAACAAUCCAACUCUAAACAUUUUCUUAAUAAAAAUGUACAUAUGAUAGUAUUGAUAUGUAUGUAUGGAUGUGUUUAUAUAUAUAUAUAUAUAUGCAUGUUUCGAGUUCAGGUGGUCGUACAUUUGGUAGUCUUUUUGUUGAUUGAUUGUAUAACUUCAACAACACCGGGAAUAAAACCUGAUCCUACUCUUGACACAAGUUACUUAAAAAAAAACUACGCAAAAUAUGCCCCCAAAAUGGAACCGGACCCAACCGUCCCUAAUUGAUUUCUUUGUGUCUAGUUUUCUCUAUGUGAAUGAAUUUUUAUACUUUUCAUGUUGAAUUGUUGGUGUUUUAGGGUUGAAAUCGAAUGAGUUUUCCAUUUGAAUCGAGUUUUCAGUUUUGAUUUUUGGGUUGUGAUUUCGUUUUCAAUGAAAUCUGAGCUUUUUGUUGUGAUUUUAGUUAAGUAUAUCAAUUUGGGACCUUUUAAGUUUCUUUUUUGAAGAUGUUGAAGAAUAUGAUGAAUCAAGAUAUUUGUGAUUUUUUAUAUUUAUAAAAAUUAUCAAUUUGUUGAUUUCGAUAAUUUAUGCAGGAGCCGAGUUCGAACCCCGAACAUCUCACUUCUCUACAUUUAAUUGUGUGACCUCUAGACUAGGCUACAAGCAAAAAAAAAAAAAACCACACAAACACUUUUAACGAUGUUGUUUAAAUUGACUUAUUUAAGAUCAUCUACUAACAUAAGUUUUUUGAGAUUAUUUCUUCAAAAAAAUAAGUUUUUUGAGACUAUUUAUGAGAGCUUAUGAAAAUAGUUUAUGACAACUUUCAUAAGCUUUUUUCAACUCAUUUUUCAUAAGUUCUCCAAUAUAGUAUACAAAAACAACUUAUAGUAUAUACAAAAACAAUUUUACCUUAUUUUAUCUUUUAAUAUAAAAACAGCUUGAUUUAAAAAAUGAUUAAAUAAUAUUUUUUAAUUUUUAAAAAUUGACUUUCUUCUGUAAUGGUUGAAGUUUGAACCUCAGAUCUUCUUAUAUAUAUAUAUAUAUAUAUAUAUUAUGUAUUAUUCCUACCAACCCGCCAACUGAGUUAAAACAUUUACAAAGAUGAUUAAAUAUUAAAUACUCCCUCCGUCCCUAAUUAUAAGACCCUUUUGAGAAUUUAUUUUUUUCCUUUUUAUAAGACACUUUUGUUAUUUCCAACUACAUUAAUUAUUUCUUUACAUACAUGCCCCUAUUUAUUAUACAUCUUUUUCUUCAAUCAGCAAUAAGUAGCAUAUGGAAAACAUAAACUAACUCUCACUCUUAAGGAUAAAAUUGUAAAAACAAUAGUGAUUACAAACAACUUUAAUACAAAUAUCUGCUUUUUUAAUUCGCGUGAUUUUAACAAAAGGGUCUUAUAAUUAGGGACAGAGGGAGUAGUUGUUAAAAUCUAAGUAAAAAAAUACAGUGAAAAUUAAGUAAAAAAAUACAGUGAAAAUAAAAACAUUUGUAAAUUCUACACCGUUCAACCGAGAGACAUAAACCCACUCAUUUCUGAAACUUAAACCCUAGCAGCAACCUUUGUUUUGUCUCAUCAAAAACCCUAAAAACCAAAAAUCGCAAAUUUCCCAAAUCUCUCAAACCCUAAUCAUGCCCGCUAAGAACAACCGCAAGAAGAAUUCACGCGACCCAUUUUUCGACGACGGUCCCACCAAACGCCGCAGAGUAGCCGCCGACGAGGAUCAAGAUGCUGAGAUUGAAAGUGAUAGUGAUUUUGACGAAGAUGGUUUUGUUCCAUCGAAAGGUGAAGGGGAACAGGAGUCUGAAGAGGAAACUACAGCUGAAGCUAGGAAGAGACUAGCUGAGGAGUAUUUGAGGAAGUUUAAAGACAGUGCUAGGAGAGAGAAGGAACAAAGAGAUGAAGAUGGUGAUGGAAGUGAUGAUGAUGAUGAUGAAGAUGAGGAUGGGGUGAGGGAUUCGCUAUCUACGAAGAUGAUAAAGGAGCAGCAAGAGGAGAGUGGUCGCAUCAGAAAAGCUAUUGCUUCAAGGUUUGAUUUUGAUAAAUUUGAUACAUUAUUCAUUAAUUGCCUGUGUUAUGUUAUGUUGUGUUUUGAUUUUUAAUUUUGAUUUGAUUUCAAUGCGACCCUUUUGGUUAAAUUGCUUGUUUUUGUGUUUUGAUUUUGAUUUCAAUGUGACCCUUUUGGUUUAAUUGAAUAAUUGAAGCAAUGGGUUGUGUUUAUUUUGAUUUCAAUGUGACUCUUUUGGCUAAAUUGACUGAUUUGGGUGUGUUAUUUAGGGUUAAAUUGGAUGGUGAUGGUGGAUUUGAAAAUUUAGUGAAGCAUAAACAAUGUGUCACUGCGGUGGCUUUAUCUGAGGACGAUUCUAAGGGGUUUUCGGCUUCGAAAGAUGGAAGCAUUGUGCAAUGGGAUGUUGAGAGCGGGAAAUGUGAGAGGUAUAAGUGGCCCAUUGAUUCGGUUCUGAAGUCUCAUGGCUUGAAGGAUCCUCAAGGUUCUGCUGCAAAGCAAAGUAGACAGAUUUUGACUUUGGCUGCAAGUUCGGAUGGUCGCUAUUUGGCAACUGGGGGACUUGAUCGUCAUAUUCAUAUAUGGGAUACACGCACUAGGGAGCAUCUUCAGGUACUUUUGCCUUUUCAUUCUUUGAAAAUAAAAUUGUUGGAUAUUUUUUGGGGGUGGAACAGAUUAGUACAGCUCUAGGUGCACUGUGAGAUUGUUUAUUGUUUGUAUUUACAGAUUAAGGAAAAUUUAUACUCCUUUCCCUUGUUUGGUAACAUUCAUUUUUCGAUAAAAUUGUCACAUAACUGUUGAUAUGUCUUGCUCUAUUGAUGUGUUUGAUAUAUUUGUUGUGAAUUGUGUGUAAAUUUGAUUCAAACUGAGCAAGAUUUUAUAUGUUAACAUAAGCGGUUAACUUACCUUAAUUUGUAUUUAGUAAUUCUUGGCAUUUGCACAAGUACAAGCCUAUUUAUGACCAAAUCUGUAGGAUAUUGGACUGUUUAGUUGGGACUUGUUAUUGUUGGUGUUUGAUUUUGUCUGUUGUCUUUUACAGGCUUUUCCUGGUCAUAGAGGUCCUGUUUCUUCUCUGGCUUUUAGGGAAGGAAGUACCGAGCUAUUUUCUGGAUCGUUUGAUCGAACGGUUAAGAUAUGGAAUGUUGAGGACAGAACUUACAUGAAUACUCUGUUUGGCCAUCAAAGUGAAGUAUUAAGUAUUGAUUGUUUACGCAAAGAAAGGGUAUUAUCUGCUGGCCGUGAUCGUAGUAUGCAGUUGUUUAAGGUAAUCUCACCAAGAUGAAGUCUUAAGUAUAUGGCUGCAAAACCAUAUUGUAUAUGUCGGAUAAUUUCUCCCACCAUUGCUCUGUUUUUGGAAAAAUAUCAAGUGAUUAAUUAAUAGGAAUUUUUUUUCCUGUCAUCAAAUGCUGUUUCUUGGGUUAUACUGAUUUCCAUUUCCUCAUGAGACUUUUUUCUGAAUAUUUACUGAUGUGUAUUCUCUGUAAUUUAGGUCCACGAAGAGUCACGUCUUGUAUUUCGUGCUCCUGCAUCUUCUUUAGAAUGCUGCUGUUUUGUUAAUAAUGAGGAAUUCUUGUCUGGUUCGGAUGAUGGUAGCAUUGAGCUUUGGGGUGCAGUACGAAAGAAGCCUAUUCAUAUUUUGAGGAAUGCUCAUGCUUUACUGACAGAUAGCAAGAAAUCUGACCAAAACGAUAGUGAAAGACUACCCAACGGUAACCUAGGUAAGCCUUUAAAUACUAUAUUAAUAGUUCCUUCAGAAAAUUACUUCUUAUGUGCAACGUAUUUUCUUAUCCGUUGCUUACUUUUCUGAAUGUGUUCUAUUUCCUCUAUGAUUCUAUUUUCAUUUACUCCAUAAAUAUAUCUGUCAUUUGUGUAUUUGUAGUGUGAGUUUAGUUAUAGUUAGCAUUAUGUUAGGAUCAUAAAGUGAUACCAUUAUCUUCACUAUGCAGAAAAUGGUCACCACCAUCCCGAGAAUCACCAUUGUUCUUCAGUACACUCUUGGGUCAGUGCAGUGACCGUCUGUAGGAACAGUGACCUUGCCGCAUCUGGUGCGGGUAAUGGUUUUGUUAGAUUAUGGACAAUUGAAAACGAGACCAAAGACAUUAAACCUCUUCAUAAUGUACCGUUGGUAAGUAGAAGGAUAGCAACUAAACUCAUUUAUCGGAUUCAUAUUCAUGCUUAGCUGUAAUUGCAGUUGAAAAUUUCACUGGCAUGUAAUAAAUCUUUUGAAUCACAGGUUGGGUUUGUGAAUUCUUUGGCUUUUGCGAAAUCAGCAAAAUUCCUUGUUGCUGGAGUUGGGCAGGUACUUAAACUGUUAAAUUCGGCAUGUAUUGCUCUGUUUUUCUUCUUUGGUAUACAUUUUACUUAGUUAUCUCUUUGACUCUGCUUGCGAGUUUGGAGGGAAGGGGAGGGGAAGGCUUUGGGGGGAUGGGAGUAGAGGGAAAAAUAGAGAAAUCUUCCAUCUUUUUUGAAAUAGUGAUCUUGUAGAGAAUGGUAAAUGAAUGUUUAUGAUUCAAUAUAUUUUUCAUUUUGAGAGUAUGAUAACAUAGAUUGGAUUUAAAGAAAUUAUCUAAACCCUCCAAAACCCUUAUACAAUACAGUUUGAGUUUCCCCAUUUUGAGGGAAUUUUGUAUUUGAAGAAAAAUAAACCCCUCAAAGCCAUCCCCUCCCAAAACCCUUCAUCCCUUACACUUCAUUAUUUCUUUUACCCAAAGCCCUCCCUCUCCCUUCCCCUUGCAAACAGAGCCUUAAACUCUAUUGACAGAAAAGCUAGAGCCUUAAAAAAUUUCUACUUCGGAUAUUUUCUUUUACCGAACUACUUUAGAAGUUAGUUAAUUGUUAUGGGAUUAUCAUAAGCAUAUUAAUAUAGAACUAAAUUUUCUGUGAUUAUGGAAUUUUGUGCUCUCUUGCUUUGUUUUCCUAAUACUCUUACCCCCUAAAAACUCUAUUGCUUAGAGUGCAUUUGAUGGAGUGGUUGUCUUACAGACAAUUCUGUGUAUGUUAGCUUGUGACUGUGAAGCUUCCCCCAUAUUAAGUGAUUAAAGUGGAGGAAUUAAUAACAUUAAGGGUCUCAGGUCUAGAUUUGGCUGCACUCACUCAGUUAGGUUUCAGGUUGACCACCACAAUUGUAUCCCAAAAUGGAUAUCGCUACAGCGGGGCUGACGAACCUUUAGUAAACUACAUUUAGAAGGCUAAUUUCAUUUUCUUGACUUCUUUUAUACGCCAAUUAUAUGAAUUAGACUUGUUUUAUCUAGUAACUAGUAAAUAGGUGGCCACCAACAUGGAAGUGGUUGAAAUUAUUGGAUGAGAGAGUGAUUGAUUGCUUCAAUUCUAUGGAAACACCAUUGGAUAUUGUUUACACUUUUAGAUAGAUUGCAUUUUACAGAAUAAUUGUGGCUAUUGUUGGUUAGUCAUACCCAUUGACGAUCAAAUUGUUUGACUUCACAAAAAACAAACCUUGAUCAUCAAACCUAACUCUUGCUUUUAACUGUAAGCUUAGCUGAACUCGAAAGUUGGGAGGGGAUACAGAAAAGAUGUUUAGGACUCUCAACAUAUAAUCUCUGUAUAGAUUGAGGAUUUAUUAUUAGUUCAUUCAUUAGUGUAUUGUUUAAUACUUUUAACUUAACAAAAUGUCUGUUUACAGGAACCGCGUCUAGGAAGAUGGGGAAGAAUACGUGAAGCUCGAAAUGGAGUUUCAAUUCUUCCACUUAAAUUGUCAUGAGAUGUGAGGCAACGAUUGUACCUCUUCAAUUUUGACUAAUUCCAAAUGCAACAUUGAGUUGAAAGAUAUCUCUGUCCGUGAUCUUAAUUAUAUGUAUCAAUUACAUUUGUUAUUAUUAGUGCCCGAUUGUUUGAGAAUUUUGAAUCAUGAUACGAGGUUCCUACAUUGAAAAAGACUUGAGGACUCGAGUUGAACUUAUUUAGUUUCAAGAAAUCAACUGUUUUUUCUUUUAUAGACAUUUAUUCACUUAGGCAUCUAUGAGUAAGCAUGACUUUGGUUCUAUAAUAACAAAAAAUGAUUUGGAUUGAAUUAAUCUUAGAAAAUCGAUUUCCAUGAAAAAUGGUGAUUUAUGAUUUUGAUGGUUUGGAUCAGAAUUGUUUGAGAACAAGUUGGUCACUGCAGAAGCUAAAAAUAUUAGCUUUUAGGUUUAAUUGACUUUGGUUCUACAAUAACAAAAAAUGAUUUGGAUUGAAUUAAUCUUAGAAAAUCAAUUUCCAUGAAAAAUGGUGGUUUAUGAUUUUGAAAGUUUGGAUCAGAAUUGUUUGAGAACAAGUUGGUCAUUGCAGAAGCUAAAGAUAUUAGCUUUUAGGUCUAAUUGACUGAGGCUGUAAUCAAUGUUAAAGUUGGAAGCCAAACAUAAUUUUUUGUGAUUUAAGUAGAAUCAUUUAUGGUGCUCCAAUCAAUUCUACUCAAAAGCAAUUCUGCACUAACAAAAUCAAUUUUGACAUUCCUGAAAGUGGAACCAAGUGGAACCAAACUUGCAAUAAAUUAUUUUUUAGGUCAUCAAAAGCGAAUUUAUGCAGACUAUUUAGUUAACAAGAUUGGAAUGAUCAAAACUUUACCCACUAUUAUAGUGUAAAUUAAUUUGGGAAAAACUUUUUCCGUUGUAUAUACUACAAGAUUUAUGAACAAUCGGGACGAAUUAUAGAACCCGAAUGUCAUAAACAACUAUUGGAGUUUGAUCGUGAGGAGGUAAGUAUACUAUUUUGUUACAGUUAGAGGAAAAGGUUUUGGUAGACUAAAUAGGUUCCAUCUUAAU
This 64502-nucleotide long non-coding RNA is filed under the name Medicago truncatula (barrel medic). RNAcentral's name for it is "long non-coding RNA (MTRU_LNC008164)". Lineage: Eukaryota; Viridiplantae; Streptophyta; Magnoliopsida; Fabales; Fabaceae. The record is from RNAcentral.